This 53516-nucleotide long non-coding RNA is filed under the name Ananas comosus (pineapple). The record is from RNAcentral. Lineage: Eukaryota; Viridiplantae; Streptophyta; Magnoliopsida; Poales; Bromeliaceae.
UGAAAUUAGCUUUUGAUAAAAGAAAUCAAAAUCAUCUCAUAAUGUGUUGGAAUGUCAAAAUGUUUUGAGAUUCAACAUUUUUCUAGUCAUUCCAAUAUUAUAAAUUUAACUUCCUUUAAGAGAUUUUGCAAGGACCAAAACUGAACUGAAUUCUUCUGUCUUUGCGUUUAACCUAUUAUUGCCUUUUUUUUAUGUUCUUUGAGAACGAACCCAUACCCAUAUUCCAGAUCCCUAGCAAUGUCAUAUCUUGGUUAAAAAUUACCUGGUUUCAGGCAAUUUCUCUGAAAGAAAGCAAGUUGAUAGAACAUGUCGCCAUGCAACGUGAAAUCACUCAGAAAGAUUCCAGUCAUCAGAUUCGAUACGCCCCCACUAAGUCUCAUGUUGGUGAAGUUGCAGACAAAGCAAAGGAUUCUCUGGCUGCUAUCCUGCAAUCAGCUGAAAAUUACUCUGUUGAAGUGAGAAGUCAUAGCGCAAAUAUUGCUGCCAACUUUGAGAAACAGGAUUUUGAUGCUUCUGAAAACUCCACAGAUUCUGAUAUUGAUAAUGUGGUCGGCAGUUUAACCGGCCUAUCGUCAUAUAGGGAUUUGCUUGAACAAAUUGACACGCAACUACAUGUAGUGGUAUCCAAUAUAGAAGAGUUCAUGAGUACCGAAUUAUCAAUACAAAGUGAUCAGAAUCAGAUGAAAGACCAACUGCAGAAAUUAUCAGAAAUUUUAAACAAUGUACUCUGCAUCAGAGGAAGGUUAGUCUUGACUAAUAUUUCCUUUUGUUUUUGCUGUUAACAAUGCAGGUAGGAGUUGAAAGCCAAAACUCAAAUAUCUUUGCAAUUUGAGUGUCACUUCAUAUUAAAUUAAAUUUGUGAUGGUGAAGUCGAAAGACUUUUGUCUGCCUGAUGUCAUACUAAUAGCAUGAGAGAGGCCAAUAUGUGACAAACUAAUGUAGAACCAGAAUAUACUUGGAUAUUUUGAAAUUAAAUUCUUAAAUAUUUCAGGAUUGCAACCAUCAUGCAGACACUAACAGAUAGCAGCUGAACCUCAAAUUGUGCGAGCGGACAGGCGCGUAAUGAUAUUAAUGGGUAUGUGUAAAAUUCUCCCUGAAUCUUCUAAAUUAUUUGUUGUUUUCUUGUUCUUCGAAAAUAUAAAUGAAUGGUAAUGAGACUUGAAAAGUAUAACAUAAAUUUGCAAAUGUCGUAAACAAUGCAUUAACUCUUAUACAUGUCAUGUAGCAUGAUGAAGGAAAUGAUCUAUUGAGUUGUGUACAGGUUUAACAUUUCGUCAUAUUAAUAGCAAGGCAAUUAUCCCCUAGAGCACUUGAAGAGCAAAACAAACCAAACUCUUUGACAGGGAUAAUUAAUUCAGCUAUUGCCUCUACUUAGUAACACAUUGUUUAGGCAAAACCAAAUACUUUCUUCUAUUGCGAAGGUAUAGGUUGAGUCACAGGAAAAUUCUAGUCCGCAUUGUAUUAUUUGAUGUGGAAUGAAGAUUUAGAAUAACUAAAAUUUGAACAAUUUCUUGGAAAAGAUUCAAAUUCAUCAUGAAAAGCAGAUAGAUAAUGAUUUAAUUAGAUGCAGCUCCAUACUAAUCCUAAUUUUUGUGUAAUACUGUAUUCUUUUAUAUUUACUUGUAUAAUCAAGAAAGGAAAACUUCAAAUACCACCCCUGUGGUUUCGCACUUUUUCACUUUAGUACCCUGUGGUUUAAAAUGCAUCAAUUUAGUACUCUGUGGUUUCAUUUUUCUCUUUUUGUCGGCUCCUUUGUUAAUAUUUUGUUAAAUUAUAUAUAAAAAACUUCAGAUACCCUACCUAGGUUUAUCGAAUAUUCACUUUACUACCUUUUAGUUUUAACUUUAUCACUGAUUUUUUUUUCCUCCGUUAAUAUUUCAUUAAAUUAUAUACAAAAAACUUUAGAUAACCUACCUAGGUUUAUCGAAUAUUCACUUUACUACCCUUUAGUUUUAACUUUGUCACUGAUUUAACGGAAAAAAAUUAGCGAGAUGGAUAAUAAAAAGAGAAAAAUGAAACCACAGGGUACUAACUUGAUACACUUUAAAGCACAGGGUACUUACUUGAUACACUGUAAACCAUAGGGUACUAAAGUGAGAAAGUGUGAAACCGCAGGGGCUAACUUGAUACAUUUUAAACCACAGGGUACUAAAGUGAGAAAGUGUGAAACCACAAGAGGGGUAUUUGAAGUUUUCUCAAUCAAGAAUACAAAACAAGCAAUUGUAAUAACUAGCAGCCAACAUUGACAAUUUUUUAAGAUAAACAAACCAUUAGAUAGUCUUUUGGCAUCAUAAUGAUGUAAUUGGAAAAAUCCAUGAAACCACCAUUUCCACUUGCAUCAGAUCCUAUAAUCUAAGCAUUGAGCCUCUAUUUUCAUAUUAAUCUACCAAAUUUAUUGAUGACUUGGAACCCUCUCUAGAAGGGAUAUUUAACUGGGUUAGUUAAAGCGGCUUGCUGGCGCAGAGAAGGAGAGAAGGGGGUUUAUGCUUGAGAUCGUUUAGCAAUUCCAAACUAUUUUUGCAAUUAGGGGUCAUAUGCAUGUUACUCAGGCUAGCGCACUGAAGAAUUGAAAUUAUUUCCAUUCAACCGAACACAAUAAAGAGAAAUUCACAACAGUGGAAAACAAAAGUAAUUGAUAUGCAUGUUCAAGUUGGGAGAUCUAUUUGGGCGUGAUCCCUUUUUUGAGGCGCUUGAGGUGCUUAGCUAACCAUUAACCCUCCCCUGUUGUGAAAUAAACAAAGAAAGAAAGAAAAAAGGCUUUUAAGAUCUUACACUUAACCUCUCACUGUUUGUGCAAUUUGUAACUUGUUUUCAUCAUUGCUUUGUGAGAAUAUGGUGCUGAAAAUAUUUGACACGACUUAUUUAAUUUUAAAGUUUGGCAAAUAAAUAAAUAAAUAUUAUAAAAUAAAGUUUAAUAUUAAGUAAAUAGAAUUUGGCUAGCGUAAGAUGAGGCAUGCACAAAGCACUUUACUAGAGAGGCAAUUGCCCCUCCAUGGCGAGGGUACCUGGCAAAUCGAUGUAGCGAUACUACUCUCCUGGAACUCCUGAAUCUCCUCUGUUGAUACGGCUUAAAAGAAGUGCUAAUUGGGUUGUAUUCCGGCUUUAGGGGGUCUCAGUUGUCUAAAUCUUGAUAUAAAAUUGAAGAAAGUAUAUUUAUACUAGCAAAGAAGAUGAAAGAGUUUUUUGGAUGAAGAGGUGAAGGCUUUCUGCCUCCAUAGGCCUCUCCAAUCUCCAAUCAAUAAUGGUUUAAAAGAUGUUAACGUUGAAAUAUACUUCUUGUUCAUUAUGCUGGCUUGAAUUAAGGAGUAAUACCCUCUAAUAUUCCUCCAUUAUUUUAAGCUAUUGCCCCGGCCAUGUAUUAGAUUGCAUGCUUGGUUCAAAAGAUUAUCCUGGCUAAUAAAUAGCUUGAAAGCCUUUCUUCAUCAGACAGAGAUGUAGUACAUGGGCCAGAGUAUCCUACGUUCCACAAAACAAGAUUGAAUUUGGAGAGAAGAGGGAACAUUUUUGGCCAUUGAGAAGUAUGAUGUGUUUGAGAAUGAGGUGUUAUAUGUUCUUGUAUGGUACACUAGUGGAACAAUGAUAGAAGGGGAUCAAGUUAACAAAGUGAACCAAUAUUGAGGGGGUUGAGUGUUUUUCUUUCUUUUAGCCUGUUUUUAUAGUAUUAAGUUGAAAUGCUUCUAAUAGCACCAAGGAAUUGGUGUUUGUGAGUUUUUAGCUCUUGGAUCCAAGACUUUGGCCAUCGGAUUGGAAGUUAAAAAUGGUGGCUAAUAAUAGGCUGCCUAUUGUGCAUGACCCGAGGGCCAAAAAGUUAGAUCCAAGGGCCAAAAAAUGACAAGCACCAAAUGCUUGGUGCCAUUAGAAGCAUACAAGCCAAACUCAUAUUUAUAUAUCGGUUAUGUUAUGUAUUUAUCAUAUUCGUAUCUAAAUAACAUAUACCGCAUAGUUGGUAACAAAGUAGUAAACACCCUCUGUGAACUCAUCCCUACUAAAUUAUCUAGAUAUCUUCUGAGCUUAUUCAUAAUCACCAUUUUUAAGUCUCAUUAGUACAUGUAUACCUUCUAUGGCGUGACUAUUAACUCUUCUUUACUUUGCACUUCACAAGGAUGUAAUGAGGAGAUGGUCCUCUUCUUUUUUUUUUCUUUUUUUUUUUUCUUUUUUUGAGGAAUUUACAUCCAAAUCAUCGGAUCAGUGUGAGUAUAAAAAGAUUCCUAUUUACAAACUAGACUCUUGAAUGUUAGAUAAGAAAAAGCUUUUCUAUUGCUAUCAAAAGCCAUUUAAAGUUUACUAUUUCUUUUGUCUCCUUCCAAUAAUGAGAAUAUGUGGCCUUUCCAGAUUUUUUGCUGUCUAGCGGAUCAAAUUGAUCGCAAUUGCUGCAAGAUCAUUCUCCAAGAUCUUUCCUAUUUCUUUGAGCUUAUAUAUCAGAAAUGCUGAUUUACUGCAGGUCAAUAAGAACAAGUCAAGAGUUGCAAAAUAAAUUGAAUUUGGAAGGAGGGGGCGAAACAAAUGAACAUUGUUUCUCAUUUAUCGAGCUUCUGAUUCUUAUUUUCCAAUCAGCACUGCAAUGCAUAAACCAGUAGAAAGGUCAUGUUUAAAUUAGAGUAUAAUAUGUUUACAUAAAUGCAUAGUAGCAAUAAUUGAACUUACAAUUAUAGUUUGUGUAUUAUAAAGCUUAAUGCCAGGCUUUUUUUGCAAUUGGCCCCCUGGAAAAAAUUAAUUUUAAAAAUAGCCCAAGUAAUUUUAUAUUUGCAAAAAUGGCCCUAGCUCUGCUAUGCAGGCGUCACGUUAGCGCCAUGCGGGCAGGACUGGGUUAAGAUAGUUAAGUUGAAUACGGUGAAUUAUUCAUUGUGUCUAAACAGGGUGAAUGGUUCACCGUGUUUACUAUGUGACUUACAGCAAUACUGGUGGACUUGGUGGAUAUACGAAGGGCGCAGACUUAGUGGAUAUACGAAGGGCGGGGGUAAUACAUUAAACAUGGGAAACCGUUUACCGUGUCUAGACACGGGGAACAGCUCACCGUGUUGAGACACGGUGAAUGGUUCACCGUGUUCAGUAGAGUUACAGCACACUUACAAUUAGCUUUGCACAAUAAACGACUGAAAUGCAACAUCAACAACACAACAACAAAUUCAAUAUAACAAUACAAGAAAUUCAACAUCAACAAUACAAUAACAAAUCCAACACAACAAUAAAUCCAACAGAACAUCAAUAGACACGGAUACCAUAUCAUCACAACAGAAUAUCAAAAAUUAAAACAAGUUUUUCAACAAUAUAGAAAGUUCGAUGUAAUUUAAAAUUUACAAAAAUAUAAUGUCAUGUUCUCCUCUUAGUCCCUCGACCACGUCUACCUACACAUCCCCUACCACGACCGCGACCGCGACCACGAUCAACAGCAUGCUCAUCAAAAAGGCUUUAUGAUCUCUAACUAAUUGAGAUGUUCGAUAACAGCACCCUCAAUAACUGGCUGAGUGUUCUGCGUCUCGACCACCCGUCUGAUCUCGUGCUCUAUCAUAGCAGGUGUCGGUAGUAUGUCUGGUCGUGGAGGAGCUGAAGAGGAGGGCUGAUCUGUAUGGAGAGACUGUAACUGCCGUCGGCACGUACGAUAAACAAUAUCAACUGGUCGAGAUGGAUCCUCUGGUACUGGUGCUAGUACUGGUGCUGGUACUGUGUCUGGAUGAUAAGGUGGCUCCUUUAUCGGUGAAGAUGGUCUCGGUGGACUAUACAAUGGUAUAUGGCCCGACAUCGAUGAUCCACCAUGUUCUGCUGGCCAUGGAGGUACAGUGUGUGAAAGCGUAGGUAAAGUCUCCAAAAUUGAUUCCAUUUGAUCGGCAACCUGUGAUAGAGCUUCUAAUACUCCACCAUAUAGAAUGUCUAGUAGGACACGUCUAAUUGUAUAAUGUAAUCUCUGCACGAUAUCAAGCUGAAAUAAAAAUACUAUCAUAAAGAUUACACUAAACUUUCUUUAUAAAUAAAAAUAAAUAUAAAGAGAUAUUAUAUAUUAAAAUCAUACCAAUACUCUCUCGACGUGACCACAUGGCUGAUACGCGAGGGGUGUCUGCUGUACUGGCCUAGAUAUCCACCUUUUGGUGAUCCUCCAAUACCAUUGCAUGUAAACAGUGGUAGCUCGUAUAGUAUCUGGAUCUAUCUCAGGGUCCACUUCUACUAUAUCCAUCAAUCUAUCAUCCCAACGCUGAAUAUAUGAAGCAUGAUACGCCGCCCAAUUUUUAUCUGCUCUACCUCAUGAAGUGAUGCGAGAUAUGGCAAAUACUGCUUCAUGUAUAUGCUGUAACAGACUAAACUGCCGAAACACACGAUCUGGAAGAAGCAGCUCAAUAAUAUUGAAGCAGACUAAGGUGAGUCCUAAAUCGCCAAAGCUGGAAGCCCGCUAGACAAAAAGGUGAGAGCGCCUCUAAUACUGUAUCUAUUUAAGGCCUCCAUGUAAUCUAUUGUGAAAAAUACAUAUGCUUACUUACCCAAAUGUUUAAAAUAUAGUGUGCAGUUAUAAUAAGAUUGAGUUACUUUCAUUUACUUAAGACUCUAGUUGUUGAUCAAGCUGAUCACGAUAAAACUCAAUAUCAGUAGUCCUGACAUUGUCCCGAGAAACUAGCCUAGUAUGCCACUUAAUUCAUUUAUAUUAUAUUAGUCAUGAUUAAAUAGUAUACAGAAAACUUAAAAUGAAAAAAAUUCUUACCUACACCCUAGUGGCAUGUUGACAAGCUUAGACUGCGGUCCAACUAUCUCAGAGCGGCCAAUGUGCAGGUGGUCUCAUGCCCAUAUCUAUACAAAAAGAUAGUUAGAAAUUACAGUAAAAACCAUGACUUAUUUAGUGCUAGUAAGGCAAUGUACUUGAAGUAAUAUCCCGAAACAACAACACUCUACCUUCCCCCUCAUGCAAACAUUUCCUAAUGCCUGAUAUAGAUGAGCUAAUGCAGCUACACCGCAUGCCAACUCACCGCAGAUAUCAAAAUCCUCUAACAGUGGCAACCAUUUCAAAUGCACUCUAUUCCCGCUUAGAUUUGGCAACAAACUACAUCCUAUCAUAAACAAUAUAUAUGCUACAAUAGCAGGAGGUGCAUCUAGGGCGAUAUUAUAAAAAUGAUGGUAUAACCGGUCUAUCUUUAUCUCACCGCCCCUAAUAUCCUCAGGAAUCACCUCAAGAAGUAGCUUGCAGAGCUGUGGCCACUGAUAUGAUGCCCCUCCGGUCACAGCCCCACUAUGGACGCAGAGUCCAGUAAUAAUAGCGACGUCCAUUAAAGUAAUAGUCAUCUCUCCGUAUCGCAUAUGGAAAGUCUGCGUCUCUCUCCGCCACCUCUCGACUAAUGAUCCCAAUAAUGAGUGAUCUAGCUGUAGGCGCCGCAAUCGCGAUACAUAAUAAAAUCUUGCUCGUCGCAAUAGGUCCAAAACUGUAGGAUGCUCAAUUUGCCAUCGGUUCAUUUUACGGCUAUGCUCCGUGAAUUGAAUAGGAGAAUAACCCUGCAUGAUUGUGAAUGUCAGAUCAAUAUUAGUAUAUAGUUUAUAAGUAAAUUUCAAAUGUUUAAAAAAACAUCACCUCUUUUCUAAUCAAAGUGGAUCUAUGGUAUGGCUGCUCAGUCAGCACGGAUGUAUCGAUCGGUCCGGGCUCCUCAUGAUCGUCCAUCUGAAAUAGUCAAAUAAAAUCCGUGAGAAAUAAAAGGAUGUAAUAUGAGUACAUAAGCAUAAAAUAAAAAAAAAAUGAAGUUUAAUUUUCAUAUAAAAAAAUAUAGCGACGACAUCUCUCGGUCCUUCUUUGCUGAUUUUCAGGACGUGUUUUAUAAUGAUCAGGCUGUUUACAUAUACUACACUUGCCCCUCCUAUUUCCAGCGCCUUCGUCCAUAACAUUACGGAUACGCGUAGAUUUGGAUCGUCCCUUUUUCCUUCUCCCGUGUGGUGAAAGUAUAUGUGAAUCAUAUGACUCGAUCCAAUAACGACGAUCGGGAACGGGGUGGAACUGCGGUUCAUAAGCGUUACGAUAGGAUGCGGCGAACACGGUGAACGAUUCACCAUGUGGUUUAGGGUUUAGGGUUUAUAAUUACACAGUGAAUCGUUCCCCGUAUUCGCCGCAUCUUAUCAUAACGCUUAUGAACUGCAGUUCCACCCCGUUCCCGAUCGUCGUUAUUGGAUCGAGUUAUAUAAUUCACAUAUACUUUCACCACGCGGGAGAAGAAAAAAUGGACGAUCCAAAUCUAUGCGUAUCCGUAAUGUUAUGGACGAAGGCGCUGGGAAUAGGAGGGGCAAGUGUAGUAUAUGUAAACAGCAUGAUCAUUAUAAAAACACGUUCUGAAAAUCAGCAAAGAAGGAUCGAGAAACGUCGUCGCUAGGUUUUUUUAUAUGAAAAUUAUACUUAACUUUUUUUUUAUUUUAUGCUUACGCACUCAUGUAACAUCCUUUUGUUUCUCACGGAUUUUAUUUGACUAUUUCAGAUGGACGAUUACGAGGAGCCGGGAUCGAUAGAUACAUCCGUGCUGACUGCGCAGCCACACCAUAGAUGCACUUUGAUUAGAGAGGAGGUGAUGUUUUUUUAAACAUUUGAAAUAUACUUAUAAACUAUAUACUAAUAUUGAUCUGACAUUCACAAUCAUGCAGGGUUAUUCUCCUGUUUAAUUUACGGAGUAUGGCCGUAAAAUGAACCGAUGGCAAAUUGAGCAUCCUACAGUUUUGACCUAUUGCGACGAGCAAGAUUUUAUUAUGUAUCGCGAUUGCGGCGCCUACAGCUAGAUCACUCAUUAUUGGGAUCAUUAGUCGAGAGAUGGCGGAGGAGAGACGCAGACUUUCCAUAUGCGACACGGAGAGAUGACUAUUACUUUAAUAGACGUCACUAUUAUUACUGGACUCUGCGUCCAUGGUGGGGCUGUGACCGGAGGGGCAUCAUAUCAGUGGCCACAGCUCUGCGAGCUACUUCUCGGAGUGGUUCCUGAGGAUAUUAGGGACGGUGAGAUAAAGAUAGACUGGUUAUACCAUGAUUUUCAUAAUAUCGCCCUAGAUGCACCUCCUGCUAUUGUAGCAUAUAUAUUGUUUAAGAUAGGAUGUAGUUUGUUGCCAAAUUUAAGCGGGAAUAGAGUGCAUUUGAAAUGGUUGCCACUGUUAGAGGAUUUUGAUCUCUGCUGUGAGUUGGCAUGGGGUGUAGCCAUUAACUCAUCUAUAUCAGGCAUUAGGAAAUGCUUGCCUAAGGGGGAAGGUAGGGUGUUGUUGUUUCGGGAUAUUACUUCAAGUACAUUGCCUUACUAGCACUAUAUAAGUCAUGGUUUUUACUGUAAUUUCUAAACUAUCUUUUUAUAUAGAUAUCGGCAUGAGACCACCUGCACAUUGGCUGCUCUGAGAUAGUUGGACCGCAGUCUGAGCUUGUCAACAUGCUACUAAGGUGUAGGUAAGAAUUUUUUUCAUUUUAAGUUUUCUAUAUAAUAUUUAAUCAUGACUAAUAUGAUAUAAAUGAAUUAAGUGAAAUACUAGGCUAGCUUCUCGGGACAAUGUCAAGACUACUGAUAUUGAGUUUUAUCGUGAUCAGCUUGAUCAACAACUAGAGUCUUAAAGUAAAUGAAAGUAACUCAAUCUUAUUAUAACUGUACAUUAUUUUUUAAACAUUUGGAUAAGUAAGCAUAUGUAUUUUUCACAAUAGAUUACAUAGAGGUCUUAUACAGAUACAGUAUUAGAGACGCUCCCACCUUUUUGUCUAGCGGGCUCCCAACUUUGGCGAUUUAGGAUCACCUUAGAUUGCUUCCAUAUUAUUGAGCUGCAUCUUCCAGAUCGUGCGUUUCGACCGUUUGGUCUGUUACAGCAUAUACCUGAAGUAGUGGUUGUCAUAUCUCGCAUCACUUCACGAGGUAGAGCAGAUAAAAAUUGGGCGGCGUAUCAUGCUUCAUAUAUUCAGCGUUAGGAUGAUAGAUUGAUGGAUAUAGUAGAGGUGGACCCUGAGAUAGAUCCAGAUAUUAUACGAGCUACCACUGUUUACAUGCAUUGGUAUUGGAGGAUCACCAGAAGGUGGAUAUCUAGGCCUGUACAGCAGACACCUCUCGCGUAUUAGCCACGUGGUCACGUCGAGAGAGUAUUGGUAUGAUUUUAAUAUAUAAUAUCUCUUUAUAUUUAUUUUUAUAUAUAAAGAAAGUUUAGUGUAAUCUUUAUGAUAGUGCUUUUUUUCAAGUCAAUAUCGUGUAGAGAUCACAUUACACGAUUAAAUGUGUCCUACCAGAUAUUCCAUAUGGCGGAAUAUUAGAAGCCCUAUCACAAGUUGCUGGUCAAAUGGAAGCUGUUUUGAAGACUUUAUCUACGCUUCCACACAUUGUACCUUCCACGGCCAGCAGAAUAUUGUGGACCAUCGACGUCGGGCCAUGUAUCAUUGUAUAGUCCACCGAGGCCAUCUUCAUCAAUAGAGGAGCCACCUUAUCAUCUAGACACAGUACCAGUACUAGUACCAGAGGAUCCACUUCGACCAGUCGAUAUUGUUUAUCGUAAGCGCAGACAGCAAUUGCAGUCUCUCCAUACAGAUCGGCCAUCCUCUUCAACUCCUCCACGGCAGGACAUACUACCGAUACCUGCUAUGAUUGAGCACGAGAUCAGACGGGUGAUCGAGAUGCAGGACACUCAGCCAAUUAUUGAGGGUGUUGCUAUCGAAUAUCUCGACCAGUUGGAGGCCGUAGAGUCCUUUGAUGAGUAUGGUGUUAAUCGUGAUUGUGGUCGUGGUAGGGUACGUGUAGGUAGACGUGGUUGAGGGAUUAGGAGGAGAACAUGACAUUAUAUUUUUGUAAAUUUUAUUACACCGAACUUUUUAUAUUGUUGAAAAACUUGCUUUAAUUUUUGAUAUUAUGUUGUGAUGAUAUGGUAUCCGUGUCUAUUGGUGUUCUGUUGGAUUUGUUGUUAUAUUGUUGAUGUUGAAUUUUUUGUAUUGUUGUAUUGAAUUUGUUAUUGUAUUAUUGAUGUUGUAUUUCAGUUGUUUAUUGCGCAAAACUAAUUGUAAGUAUGUUGUAUCUCUACUGAACACGGUAAAUCAUUCACCGUGUCUAGACACGGUAAACGAUUCCCCGUGUCUAGACACGGUGAACGAUUUCUCGUGUUUAAUGUAUUACCUGCACCCUUCGUAUAUCCACAAAGUCUGCGCCCUUCGUAUAUCCACCAGUAUUGUUGUAAGUCACAUAGUAAACACGGUGAACGAUUCACCGUGUCUAUACACGAUGAACCAUUCACCGUGUUUAGACAUGGUGAAUGAUUCAUCGUAUUCAACUUAACUAUCUGGCCCCUGCCCCGCCCGCAUGGUGCUGACGUGAUGCUUGCGUGGCAGCACUAGAACCAUUUUUGCAAAUAUAAAUUUGGUAGGACUGCAAAUAUAAAUUUGGUAGGGCUAUUUUUAAAAUUAAUUUUUUUCAUGGGUCCAGUUGCAAGAAAAUUCCCCAGACAAAUUAUUGCCUCCAGCACUGGAUUUAUUGGAUUUAUGUAGCAGUCCGCCGUGCCUCCGUCUGUGCAUCACAAGAUCAUGAUCCAACUAUACUGCAACUUAUCAGACGGUGUAGAAUGAAUUAUCAAAUGUGAGAAGAGUAUAUAUAGAGAGAUAAAGAUGCAACCACUGGAUACAGGUGAUAAUUUUGUGACGCAAGUUGCAAGAUUAGGCUGCAUAAUAAAAGUUUUCAGACACUGGAUUAAUCAUGUUCAAACGAUCGUUCAAGUUGUCCAUCUGUUUUGCUGGAGUUAUUUGAUUGCUGGAUAUUGCUUCAGUGAAUGUGUGUUGUAUGCUAGAGUCAAAGUUUGUACUAUGAUAUUUUACAGAAACAAACUGUCAAACAUUGAGUGACUUAGGGCCUGUUAGUUUUUGUGGAUCUGAGGGUGAACUUGUGACUUCAAGAAAGUUAUAGAUAUCGGCAUUUGUUUCAACAAUGAUGUCACAAGAUUACUCGUACGUCCACUCACAAUUGUACAGAGAGCACAGAGAUCGGCCUUCCGACUUCUAUAGGGUGGGAGGUGAGGUUGAAUUCAUGAAACUCGUUAAGUUUCUCAGUUUCUGACCUCCCGCUUUCAAACAGCUGCUGCUUUGUGUAGUAUGAGAUUUUCACAUAUAUAAAUUAAUCAUUUAAAACCACUGGAAUAGCUGGCACAAUUCUUGAAGGCCUGAAAUUCUUGCUUCUAUGUCUGUCUAGCCGUUGAUGCUCGCCACUGUGAUACUGCUAGUGUCGCAUGAGGAUGAGGCUGCACAAUGGUUGACAGCAAGGAUUUAAUUGCCGUGACAAAGGAUCGUGCCGGCACAGUGCGGUACGAUGCGUGCCAGUUAAAAAAAAUUUUGUAUACCGACACAUAAUAGUAUGAAAUAUUUAUUUUCUUUAGCAAUAAAAUAUUUUAACUAUUUAUUAUGUUUUUUUAUCAUAUUUUUUAAACUUUAUUGAGAAAAUUACUUACUUUUUAAAGAAUAGAAGAUUUUGAGCUGUGCUAUCGGCACGAGAUCUAUAUCGUGCCAGUGUUUUAUUGGCACGGUAUGGUGGAUACGGCCCGUCCCGACGAGUACUUAAAACCCUGAUUGACAGCUGCUACUUCCAUUCGCUGAUGGUGUUUUAUUCUCACUUUGCCCCCAUGUGGUUUAAAAUGUAUCAAUUUACCCCGUGGUUUAUUUUUUCUCUUUUUCUUAUCAAUUUCAUUAUUUUUUUUUCUUAAAUCAAUGAUAAAGUUAAAAUUAAAGGGUACUAAAAUGAAUAUUUGAUAAAUCUUGAUGAGUAUCUGAAGUUUUUUGUAUAUAAUUUAAUGAAAUAUUAACGAAAAAGCUACCGAAAAGAUAAAAACGAAACCACAGGGAGGCAAAUUGAUACAUUUUAAACCACAGGGGGGCAAAGUGAGAAACUACGAAACCACAGGGAGGGUUUUUGAAGUUUUCCCAAAAAAAAAAACAUGCAAAAGAAACGCUCGGUUAACUGUGUCAUAUUUUUUUGCAUUCACAUGUUCAUUUAAAACGUAAUGUCCAAAUUCAAAGCACCACGGGAAGAAAGCAUAGGUAAGGUGACACCUCGUCAUAAUAGAAGUCUCUUGAGCAUAAAACUAUGUGAAGUAGUAGACUCAUCGAGCUCUUAAAGAGAGCGGCGAUAACCGCGUAAUUGGAUUAUAGGUCAUACCAAGCACCAAGAGAGAUUUCUAUUUUCGGACCGAAUUAACUUGAUAGCAACCGCAACUUGAGCAAGCUCCUCGAAUGGAUGCGGUAAUAAGCUUCUCGGAGUGACCGACAACCACAUCGACAUUGAAACAGUAAGUCGGCCCAAAAAUGUCUUCUCAUAGUCCUCGCAUGUUUACUUGGCCUCCACCUAGUCGGAAGAAGAGGUUUCGUAAAUACAGAAAUACAAGUCAGCCCAUGUGAGGAAGCAUUUCUAGUACUUUGCAAUUACAGAAUUUCUCAAUGAAAUGUACAAGUUAGCCUUUGUCUCACAUCGCUUGUAUUUUUUGUUUCACUAAACUCAAAUUCUAUAUAAUUAAAUGCGUCGUCUGAGCAUCUGAGCAUCUGAACAUACUUCUCGACUCUUAUUAUCGUUAGUUAGCUUCGAAAUACCAUAUUUCUGAAGGAAAAGAGAAGGGAACCUCAUAAAUGUAUCCAGAACAUCCAAACAACCUUUUAGCUUAUCAACAUCCGGAGAAACUCUUGAUGCACAUUUGGCGUGGCUUCUAGAAUAGCUUCCCUAUUCCGAAAGGUAACAGUACCGUUUGGCAGACAAACUUCAAGAGCUUUGGCUGUCACAAGAAGCUAAAAUGAGCUCCUAUGCCCAAUAAGCAGAAGCUCCUAUUUAAGCUUCUGCUUUUGCUGUAUCCAGAAACUAUUGCAGGAAUUUUAAUGAAAAGGCUGUUAAUGCUUCAGACAGCUAUAAACUGGAAGUAGGCCGAAGAGGCUAUGAGUGUUUGGUAUUAUACUGAUUGGCCUCAAUAUGUGCAUAGAGAUCUGCAAUGGAGUACCUAAGAAGCCUGGCAAGAUUUAAUUUCACACCAAACUUACACUACUUUGAAAAGGUUCGACUAGAGAUAAGAGUUCCUUUCUAGUGAUUAGGGCUUACUGCUAUGGAUGAUGGUGACAGAUUUAAAUGCCAUACAUUCCUAAUGCAAUAAUUACUGGCAAAUGCUCUGAAUAUCAGACAUCGCAAGGAAGAAACCCGUGUUCUUAUCAGAAAAAGGGUACUUGUGUGCAUCUGCUCAAGAAUUCGCGACGUUACAAUAUAGUGUUCGCUUAAAAUAUAAAGAUGAGGAAAGAAACUAUGUACCUUUAAGCUCUUUUUGAGUGCCUUUGAAGUCAUAAAGCUUUGGCGGCCACUGAAACUGAAAAGACUAAUGCAGCUCAUGACUUCAAGGAUAGGUUAGUAAAAAUAAUCUUCAUUAACACUGCAAAACUGCCAACAAAAAUCAGUACAAAGAAGUUAGUUCUUAGAAGUGGUACAAAUAACAAUUGCCACGCUUGCAGAUGCACUGAAAUAACAUAUAUGCUUACCCCCUCUCAUCAGAAACCAGUCCAAAACUUCAACUCAUGAAUGUAUACAACACCAUCGAGUUCUAAGCUGGUCUCACUUGGAAUCCCUUCAAAAUACAGAUAAACCCAUAUAUUAAGAAACAUUACAAAGAAAAUGCAGUACAACAGUUGGUUUGAGCACAAAACAAAAUUAUCACAGAAAAAACUCAUUUUCUCUUCGAAUGCAUGAAAGAUAAUUUGCUAACUACCCAAGCAGGAAGAAAAGGGUAUAAGCCCCUAAAAAUGGAGAGAGAACUCAGCAUCUGCCAAUGGCUGACCCUACACUCUUGUUGUUUUUUUUAAGAACAAAAACAAAAGGUCAAAUUUCAUAGCCCCAACUAAAACAGGCAUGAAUAGAAGAAAGAAGCUUAUGGAAUUAGACAGCAUUGCAACAUGAAAAAGGCAGAAAUAGAAAAGCCGGUCAACAUUUUCUAGAGAUAUGGUAAGGAAUACCAACAUAAACUUUACGAAUGUUUUCACUUUCUAUACUGUACUUUUUGCCAAAAACUCCAUUUAACUUACACAUUUUAUAGCCAUUUCUCCAUUGAUGAUAACAAACAAUAGCUAACAUCAAGUAUGGUUAACAGCAAUUUAAAAUUCUCUCUCGUUAGGCUACUACUCCUCCUCUUAACCAACAAAUAUCUUCUAUUCCAGUCGUCACUAGGCAGAGACAAAUAGAAAAACCCUUUAUCUAAGUUAGAAAUCUUUUGGAUUUGAGUCUAUCAACACUAUUUUUUUACUACAAUGCCCACAGGAAAGUUCAUUCACAGAGAAUCGUGUAAUUUCCAAUUCCCUAGUUUUACUCCACAAUCCACAUUGUUGCUUCUCUUCAAAUUUUCCCAAUUGAGAAAAUUUAGGAUCAAUUAGCUGUCACAUCACAUCUUAUAUAAGUUUCAAGAUACAAAUCAAUGCUGUAUUCAGCGAACAUACUCCGUUUCUAUUAAAAUUCUAUCAUCUAUUAAUCACUGCAGAAAUUACAUUACAGUGUAGAAAGAGAAGACACUCCUGAAGUAGUUUAGUAAAGCAUAAUUAAGUGAUAUUACCAAAUAACAAGGAAAACAUUCCCUGUGAUCAAUUUACAAAUUGUUUUUAUCUACGAAUAUAAAGCAGAAGAUAUACAUGAGAAUUUUUAUAUCUAGAGUUUAGAUCCUGAGAGAGGCGCAUUAUGACAUGCUAACACAUUUCUACGUAGAUAAUAUACGGUAGCUCAACACAAAGGCAUGCAAUAUUUUCUCCUACAGUAAUAAAUGAAACAAAUUAAAUCUAUAUAUAAUAUACAGGUAUCCCAACCAAAGAUCAAUGAACGCUGAUUAGCCAUCACAUAAUUGCUACAGAAAAGAAAAUGACGUCGAGACUUGAAAUGCAUUGCUUAAUAAGAAAGGCAUGAAGUGCAUUUAAAAAAAAUAAAUAAAUAAAAUAUCUGUAACCAGGAAAGAAACUUACCACCACAUAAGAUUACGAAGAUCAUUAGCUUCAAGCAGUACCAUACACAAAUAUAUUUCCUAGAAAAUAGCAAGCUCAUGUUAAGGCAUAUGAUAUGAAGAAACUGAAUUAUGCAACUUAGCAUAAUAAUACAAAAGAAAAAGGAAGAGCAGUAAAAAAAAAAAAAAGAAAGAAAAAAAAUCACUUUUUUGAAAAGUUCCAAUUAAGAACAAUAUCUUGUAUUACCUUGACCAAGAACUAGAACUGCAUUUGAUGAUAUAGGAACAAUGUCCCGCACCUUUUCGCUCACAAAGAUUGCUUCAAUAGCUAAAUGAGAACAAAAAAUAGUUUGAAUGAAUAGACUUAGAAAGAAAUUUACAGCUACAUGAGAACAAAAACAAUAUCCAUUAUAUGCAGUAGAUUAAUCAUCAUGCAUGCAACAAGCAAGUUAUGUGUGUGUGCUAUAGCAGUAAAUUCGAAAAAAAAAAAAAAAAAAAAAAAAAAAAACACUAAUAAGCUAAUCCUUUGAAAUAGCUAGCAGGUUAAGAAACUUCAUAUGACAUGUUGGCAGAGUCUAGUGUAGAGUGAUGUUUUACAAAUGAUUAAGGGAGCAUACGAUAUACUUUCAUAUUAUAUAGCCUAUAACAAUUUUAACGAAUAGAAAUGCUCGCUGAACAUAGCAAAGACCUGAGAUCUGAAUCAUUGUCGACUUUCUUUCUUCUUCUACAUUUCCACCAACAGAAUAUUCAAUAUCAGAUAAUGACAUCAUAUGCACUGUAUGCGCACCAUCUGAUACCCAAACCACUUGCGUCUCUGAAGAAGCACAGUAAGAACAUCUAUAAUGAAGUAUUAAACAGAUAAAAAUAAAUUUGUAGACAAUGAUGGGUAAAAAUGUACGAAGAGCUUCAACAGUAGACCGCCAUGAAACAAAACCCCCAGAUUUAUCGGAUUAUUUUUCAAUGAAGGUCCUCAAUUUCUUAUUUUCAUUUAAAAUAAUUUUGGUAGCUGAAUUGGGGAUUUUGUUAACAUAACAGCUCCAAUAGUUUUCAGCCAUCAUCAGUUAACAAAAACCCAUAAUUUCAUUGUGAAAAGCAGUCAGAGCCGUUAAAUUUCACAAAAUUGUUUUAACAUUAACAGAAUCCCCGAUUCAAUUUUAGGGUGUAACUCGAAUUAAAAAUCAUAAACUGAGGGGGUUUCUAUCAAAAAACAGGGGUGUCUAUAUCAAAAUGGUCUAUAAUUGAGAGGGUCUUUGUACAUUUUUACCCAACAAACUAGAGCAUACUUGCAGAGGUAUUGGGAAGAACAGCCAAUAGUUGAAUUUUCAUGGGAUGAUCCAAACGAUAUGUAUGAGCUUCUUUGGAAGUUAGGGAGCACUGAUCUGUGAUGCCUGAUGGCACAGCCUUAUUACGCAGACUUAGAACGUGCAAAUCUCCAACAGAAUCCAGUAUCAAAAAUUUGUUCUUUGAUAGUGCAUGGACAGAAACUGCUUUUGCAGAUGCCAGAACUCCCGUACCAUUUUUUUGCUUUUGGACACUAGCGCAAUUCAUUGCCACGAGGAAUGAGUAUGAAUUUUCUGAAUUCUGUUUGAUUCGCAACAUCUUGAGCUUAACUGCAGGAUGAAAAUGAAGACCAAGAGCUAUAGUUUCAUAAAUAUAAAGUUUGUGUCAACAUUUCUAAAGAGCUUACCUGCAGCAGUGAAAUAUAUAUAUAUAUAUAUAUAUAUAUAUAGAGAGAGAGAGAGAGAGAGAGAGAGAGAGAGAGGCGCCUGUAAUUUCGCAAGUACGGAGGCCUCCGCGCUUGUAAAUUGUUUUCGAUGAUAGGACAUCCGAUUCAACAAUCGGUUCCAUUAGACAUUAUUUACAGUGUUGGAACUAUCUAGAAACCAAAUUUCAUAAUUUUUUUAACUUCGUUUGCUUAGUGAACGAGUAGUCUCAAAAUAAACGGCUGAAAAUAAAAAUCUCAUAAAAAAUAGUGAUAAAAGACUCAAAGGUCAAAUCAGAAGUAUUAGUCUUGCUCUUGAUGUUCGUAGAAUUUUCUAUUAAAAUUUCAUAUAAUUUGAUUGUUCUACGCCAUUGAACUUACAAACAUACCACAUUGGCUGUGAAAAUAGUCAUUUUUUAGACCCUUUGAUUACUUAGUAAAUGAUGUCGAAAAAUUAUGAAAUUUGGUUUUUAAAUAGUUCUAAUAGUGUAGAUCAUGCCUAACGGAGCCGAUCCUCAAAUCGGAUGUCGUAUCAUCGAAAAAAUUUACAAGCACAGAGGCCUCCAUGCUUUCAAAAGCACAGGAGACGUACUCUAUAUUAUAAGUUAAUCUAAGAUAGAGUACGCCAAGUUAAUCUAUUGAUAUAAUAUCACGGUUUCUAUUGAUAUAAUAUCACAGUUUCAAAAGCACAUUGGGCUGCAUUCACAGUUUCUAUUGAUAUUAAAGUUUCAUAUAUAUAUAAGUUAAUCUAAGAAAAGGAAGGUAAUCAAGCUUAUUUACUUAUAUGUUGUUUUCCGAGAACUAGGCUACAAGGCUGAUCAAUAGAAACCGUGAAUGCAGCCCAAGUUUUAUUAGAAUUCUCUUUAGCUUGUUUAAAGAACAUUUUCCCCCUGUUUCUUAGUUGGGUUUUUGUUAGUACUAGUUAGAUCAUUUAAUGUGUAAUGAGGUAACCUUUUUUGCUUCAUUGCAUGAUGUGUCAGCUUCGAAGAUGAGGGGAUCUUCUAUCUGUGGGAUCUUUUAUUGCUUUGGAUCGAUUCCAAUUUGAUUUUUUAAUGUAUUUGAUAUCUAAAUCGCUAUUUUAAACUAUUUGGGGCUCAAUUUGAAGUUUAAAAGUGGUUCCAAAUAUAUCUAUUCUCUGUUUCUGAUUAUUCGAUGCUAUUCGCACUUAAUUUCGUUUAUCCUACUGUUUUCCUGAGCAACUGAGAAAGACUUGAUUUACUGCUCUUUGAUUCACUGGCUUUAAAUACCAUCCUAAUCUAAUGAGGAUAUGCAUUUAGAGCCUUUAUCAACCAUUUGCCAUUUAAAUCUGUUGCAGACCCCACGUUUUCACAUACAUCUGAACUGGUUUUAUUUCAUUCUAUUGCAAUAGCUCUUUAUUUCCUUGAGGUAGAAUUGUAUGCAAGUUACCUGAACUUCAGGCCAUUGGCAGACAAGUGAACUUUAAAAGUUUGCACUUCAAUACCUAAACUUUCUAAAUUUCUUCUUUUAGCAACUACGUACUACUACAAAAAGUUGCAGAUAUACAUUCGGUGUAUUAGCACAUCGCUACACCAGAAUGCCAACUGCCCUUCAUCCCAUCUCAUACUUCAAAUCAAAUGAUCUAGAUUUUAAUAAAGAACAUUUGCAAUGAGGUUGGCAGAAGAGACUGAAGUUUGAGAUGAAAAGAAGGCAGACAACAUAGUGGUGUAUGAUGUACAGAUGGACUGGGUGCAAGCAAAAAUUUUGGAUUUGUUGGUGACUUCGAGAGGUACCAUAAUGAUAAUGUAAGAAAGGUGAGGUAUUGAAAUACAAUCUUUUGAAACUCAGGUGCCUAUUUGCACAUGACCCAAAAUUCAGAUAGCAUUUAUACAUUUUCACUUUUCCUCAAUUAGCACCAGUCACCCAAUGUUAGCUCCAUGUUGAUACGCAUCAGACUCCUACUUUCCUUUCUGUAACAACCCUAGUAGGACUGCCCCCCGCCUUUUCUGUAAUCCUAUUUGGAAAGUAACAGAUUGCCAUACAGCCCUGCACUAAUCAUCUUUUGAGGAGUCUAGAGAAAAAUAGGAAAUAGAACAACCGAUUUUGAGUUUCCAAAAUAUUCUUAUUUUUCUCUUUAUGGAAACCUUUUUCUUUCUCUUUUCUUCUCCCCUUAUCGACAAAAUAAUCCUCUUCAUCGAAUUCUUCCUGUCAACUUCAAUUAAUUUUUUUCAAGAGACUCUAUUCUAUUUUGUCGAUUUUCCAGAGCCUGUUUUCAGGCCUAUUUCACUACCUUCAUAUUUGGAGUUGAUUGGAAUCCCACAUGAGAAAAUUAGCAUACAAUCUUUUGUGAAAAUGAUAACUACAAACACCUUCCAGCUAUUCUUCUAAAAAGCACUCUAUGCAGAGCACCGCAGAAGUCAUAUGCGGCUCAAUAUGUGGUUUGGCUACGUAUGCGUCUUUCUGCAGCCAAUAUGCAUUCUCAUGAGGCCGCAUAAGUGGAUGGUAUAGAAUCUGUGAUCUCUUUUGUUAUUUUGGUUGGGUUCAAAAACUUUAGGGGAUUUUUGCGUUUACUAAAUGAGUAAAAGAGCGACAAAUCGCAAUUAACUAUGACACUAUAGGAGUGAAACUCGUCCCAUCCGUAGUUACACUAUUAAAAAUGAAUUUAGCAUGACUUAUAUGGGUAAUACUUCAUAGUUUUUUGUAUAACAUAUGUUAAUACUUCAUGUGGGAUUCCAAAUAUGUUACUCCACAUGAAGUAAUAGCUUAACCUUUUUUCAGGCCUAUUUCACUACUUUCAUAUUUGCAAUUGCAUAUGUAAGCUUAAUACUUCAAAAGCUAAACCACAUAUACAUCUGCAUAUGCACCAGCUACCGCACAUGUGUUAUGUGGUAGCACAGCUGCCUACAUACCACAUAUCACUUUUAAGAACAUUGCUUCCAACAUUAUAUGCAUCUCGCAUAAAAUGUCUUUCAAUUAAGAACUGUGGAAUUCAAAAUAUUUCAUUUUCCAAUCAUUUUGCCAUUCCAAAAGAUAGAUAAUCAAUAAGCAAGUGAAGCAUAAAUCAGCUUAACACUAGAAACAGAAUUACAUGCAGCUUAAUGAAGUAUCAAAGGACCUUGGUCCAAUCUAACACUGUUUUGGCAUCCAAAUUAUCCUAGAAAAAAGAACUAACAAACAUGCUUUUACUAGUCAGCACAUUUGACUAGUAUGUCAAUAGUAAGAGACAAGGACGAUUUGGAAGUACAAAUCAUACUGGUCUUUUCAUAACACUGUUUUAUACUAGUGGCAAUACCAAGCAAAAACCUAAUCACAGUAUUUGGCAAUCAAGACUUUGUUUUGAGCCCUUAUCUUUUAUGUUUUGAUUUUGGAUAAGCCUGCUAAACCCUUCUGAUGCAGUCAAAAAAAAUCAACUGCUAUUUAAAAAUAUUUUUUAAAUUUUCAAAAUUAUUAUUUUUGUCAAUCUAUUUUAGAGGAAUUUUUUAGAUUUUUAAGAUUUUUCAUGUCGAACAAAUCCUUAAAAAUUAGAUAUAUGGAUUUGGAAGUUUUGAAUUAGAAUUAGAUAUGUUGUAUUAGAAAAUUUUCUAAAAUUAACGGAUUUGAUUAGGAUUAGAAUUAGGGUUUUUUUAUUAUAUAUAAAUUCAAAGGCCUAUUGGAGAGGGAGAGUUUUUGGGUAUGAAAAUUUUAUUUAGAUUUGUGUGUUCUUAUCACUUGUGUGGCCUUAUUCUAGCUUGUGUGGUGUCCCUCUUCUUCUUUCCCUUUCUUCUUGAAUUUAUUCUUCAUUUCUUCCCUCUUUCACCUGCUACUACAGUACCAUAGCCACAGUAAUUGCUACGGUAUUUUUGCCCUCUAUCACCUUCCAACAAGAAGUAUCGAUGCAAAUAAAAUUUUGAUUCUAAACUCCCUCUUGUAGUGUGUAGUGCCAUUUGAUGAAGUGAUUUUUACAUAGUACUAUUAAGAGAAGCACCAUAUUAAAAUUCCCGAGAAGAUUCUUUUUGCAAGAGAAUUUAGAAUUUCUGCUUUUGGGCCUAAAAAUCUCAUUUCAAAUCCUCACUAUACAAGAAGAUCUAGACCUUUCUAUUUAUCAAAUGCUCUACUAGAGAUGACUACAUGUAAGAGGACAAGAAACUAAACAUGCACUUAGAAAAGAAUACAUUUAGGGCACAUUUGACUUGGGAAUUUUAGGCAUGGAUGGAAACCGGAACUAUCGCUCCCAUUCCAAUGGUUUAAUCAGAUAAAAUCCCUUCUGCAACCAUAAUUUAAGUCCUUCCUAUAAGACAGGAAUGAAGCCCCAUUCCAAGGUGGAAUAAGAGUAAUUCAUUCCAGUUCCUACUCCAAUUGUAAACCUAAUAGACUGAAGGUAUUGAUAAUUCCCACUCUACUUCCAAUUCAUUCCAAUUCCGAUUCUAAUUGCAAACCAAACAUGUCCUAACUCCUAUGUUUACGAUUGAUAGGACUAAGAGAAGCAAGGAAGACAGAUUGAAGAUUGAAGGACAAUGCACACUCAUAAGUGAGCAUUAUCGAUAUCUCAGAUCAUUUAUCUGCACAACAAGGAUAAAAAGAAAGAAGUAGAAUAGAAUAAAGCCAGAUGGAUAAUGUGAAAGGGUGAUGUAGGUGAACAAGUACUUUCAAAAGUUAAAACUAAAGAUAGAAUAUAGUGUCCACUCCGCAAUGCUUUAUCAGAUGAAAUGAUGAGCCAAAAUGAAGCAAAAUGCACAUUAAACUGAGAAUAAACUAAGCCUCCCAGGGGCAAGAAAGUUAAGAUAGUUAAUUUGUUAGACAAGAAAGAUAGGAUUAGAAAGUACUAUAAUCACUCUAAAAGAGCAGUUAUUUCAAUUGAGAAUAAGUAAGGAGAUGUCAUUAGGCAUACUGUAACUAUCCCUAUCACCAAGAGUGAAACAUCCCAACAGUAAUGUGAAGAGAAGUAAAGGCAAGCCAGAAUUUUAGAGGUGAUUAUAAACGAUCUAGCCAAAGAGGAAUCAUCUUUGAAAUAAAAAGGAAUCAUCUUUAGAAUAAACCACUUCUAAAUGGCUUGCAUAGUUAGCAAGUUAACAAAUAUCGCACCCAUAAACCUAGAAUUUAGAACAUAAGAUACCGGGGCUUGAAAUUUCAGCAACUCAAACAUGCUCUGUUUAGUUCAUCAAAUUUCGAUAUUGUCAAAAUCCAUACUUCAUUUAGGGCAUGUUUGGUUCGAAGGAUUUGAGGCGUGGAAUGGAAAUUGGAAUGAUCCAUUCCUAUUGUUCGUGUUAGGUUUGAAGGAUUGGCAUUCCAAUUCCUAUUCACGGUGGAAUCAAAUCCCUCUAAAAUGAUACCCACCAUGGAGGUGGGAAUCAACUUUGAUUUCGGAAGGAAGUGAGAAAAGAACUCCCUUUUUUCCACUAACAAUUAUUUCAAUUCAAAUAUUAAUCAUAUAUUUAAUCUAGAAUAAAAUUAGUUAUAAUUUUUAAUUUGAAUUUGAAUUAUGAAUUCAAAUCCACUUUUUAACUUCUUAAGUUGAAAUUUAAAGUCUAAUGUAAGUUUGAUAUUUGUGUAAAUUUAAAUUUUGAUGUUGAAGUUGAAUUUAAAAUAUAAUUUAAAUUUUAAGUUCAAAUCGUGAGUUCAAAUUUGAAUUCAAAUUUUGAUUACGAAUUUGGACGGUAAAUUUAGAAUUUGAUUAAACUUUAAAACUUUUUGAAUUUCAAUUUGAACAUGAUCCAAAAUCAAUUCCUCUUAUAUACCGAACAAAUUAGGAGUUUUCAUCAUUCUGUUUUCAAUUUCAGUCCAUUCUCAUUCCUAUUCCAAUUUCGAUUCCUAUUUAAACCAAACAUGCCCUUAAUGUAUUUUAACAGUUAAUAAGAUAAAAUAUAUAGGGUAAAUUACAUUUUUGGUUCUCAAACUAUAAGAAGUAUGACACUUUUGGUCCUCAAACUUUAAUUUGUUGCAAUUUCUGACUCGAACUUCUUAAAUUGUUAUAAUCAAGUCCCACAAUCCAAUUUAGUUAGCUAUAUGUUGACAAAUUAUUCAUGCAGAAGUUACGUAGAAGUAUUAUGAUUGAUGAUGCGACAACAAUUAAAAUACUAUAGUACUUCUGCAUCAACAAUUUGUCAAAAUUUAGCCCCUUGUGAAAGAAAGAAUUCCGGAACUCCUAACAACCUAAGGCCGGGGUGUGCAAAUUGCCACCUAAUGCCAAAGGGGUGAUUGAUACCUUCGAGCCUAUGGUCGGGAGUGUGCGAAAAGCCACCUAAUGCCAAGGUAAGAGGUAAGAUGAAUGAACUCGCUACCAAUAACUCCGGCGAUCGGGGGUGCUCGGAUUGAUACCUAAUACCAAAGGAUGGAGCGACUUCACAAAUUAUGGACUUAGGGCCGGGGGUGGACGAUAAUCUCGCCACCUAAUGCCAAGAAGAGGAUGGCAGUACUCUGCUAAUGAUUGACUCAAGACUGAGUCGGAUGGUAUAGCUUGGCUAAGGUAAAAGAACCUUAGGAGCGGAUUGGAAAUGCGAUGGAUUGUGAAAUAGAAAGUAGAAGAGGAAUACCUACUUGCGUGAAUUUCAUUAUUGCAUUUAGUUGAGGCAUAAACAUGGAUGUUUAUUUAUUUGCACAUAGGACAGUUAUAUGUUUAUAUGUUGGAGUAAUAUGCUUAUGUUGCCUCCUUUGGACUGGUGGGUCGAGCUCUUUCCUUGGGUGGCCGUACCCACUGGAAAUUAUUUUCAUAGUUCUCACCCCCAUGUUUUUCAGGUCGGCACGUGAGCGGCGCGGCGGCACGAGGAAAGGGCAUAACUCAAUAGAUAGCACCCUACCACUUGUGACCAGGAUAGAAGUACCCUUUACUACGUAGCUUAGGGGUAUUGAAAUGUAGAGCAAGAAAAUAUUGUAAUAAUCAUUGAUUGUAUUUGGAAAGAAUGAAAGAAAAAUGUAAUGCGUAAUUUGAAAAUGAGACGAAUGCUUGUAAUAGCGUAGUUAUUUAUGUCUAUGAUGCUCUCCUUAUGCAAUUUGUGUGUGAAUUCUGUUCUUGGUUGGAACAUCUUGAAUUGUACUGAUUGCAACGCCUUGGACGUUGUUACGUACCUGACUCGGCGCAACCCGUCGAUGGCGAGAUAUCGCUAAGAUGUUGGACGACGUCGAGGAUGAUGGUUCCCGUAACCAUAUGACUCAGAUCAGAUUUGAUCAAAAUCACAAUAGUUUGAUGAUAGAGAUGAAGAAAGAAAGAAUAAGGAAGAAUAGAGGGAAUAAGAUAAGAGGGAUUAAGAAGAGAUCAGGAGAAUGAGAGAUGGUGAUGAAGAGAAAGAUAAAUUUCAUUAAUCUCCAUAAAAAAUUCCUCCAGUUACACGCUGCCUUUUAUUCACAAUGAUAGAUGGAAACAAAACCCUAAUUCUAAUUGGGCCUCCAAGGCUUUCACUAACGGUCCACCUUCGAGUGAGUGGGCCUCUUCUCUGGCCUCCUCCUGAUGCCAUAUCGGAUCCACAUCUCCUUGCGCCCGAAUCCGCCAGAAGUCUCGAGACUCUGGGUCACUUCAUCAACUGGCCUAGGUUCCUGUCGAUCCGCCUUAUCCCUUCUUCCACUUCUCCUGUGUCUCUCUCUCCUUGCGGCACACUCUCUCUCCAUUGUUGAGGGCGGAAGCUUUCAACCCCCAGGUUCUGAAGCUGAGAAAGAUAAGCCCUUUUUCACCUCUUUUAUUUAUCUUAGCUAACCUCCUUACUAUUACUCCUAAUCACUUCUCACGACUCGGCAGGCGUGACAGACGUACAGGGCAGACUCUGUCCGUUCGGUGGGUCUGGCGCACACGUCCGUGAAGGACUUUUUCCACCUAUUUGGGGAAGGGACGGCAGGGCGUGACAGACUAAGGUGGUAUCAAAAAGUAUAAGAAGUUGAAUUUAAAAUAUAAUUUUAAAAUUUAAGUUCAAAUCGUGAGUUCAAAUUUGAAUUCAAAUUUUGAUUACGAAUUUGGACAGUAAAUUUAGAAUUUGAUUAAACUUUUAAACUUUUUGAAUUUCAAUUUGAACAUGAUCCAAGAUCAAUUCCUCUUAUAUACCGAACAAAUUAGGAGUUUUCAUCAUUCUGUUUUCAAUUUCAGUCCAUUCCCAUUCCCAUUCCCAUUCCAAUUUCGAUACCUAUUUAAACCAAACAUGCCCUUAAUGUAUUUUAAUAGUUAAUAAGAUAAAAUAUAUAGGGUAAAUUACACUUUUGGUUCUCAAACUAUAAGAAGUAUGACACUUUUGGUCCUCAAACUUUAAUUUGUUGCAAUUUCUAACUCGAACUUCUUAAAUUGUUAUAAUCAAGUCCCACAAUCCAAUUUAGUUAGCUAUAUGCUGACAAAUUAUUCAUGUAGAAGUUAUGUAGAAGUAUUAUGAUUGAUGAUGCGACAACAAUUAAAAUACUAUAGUACUUCUACAUCAACAAUUUGUCAAAAAUUAGCUAACUAAAUUGGGUUAUAAGACUUGAUUGCAACAACUCAAAGUUAAAAAAUUGAAACAAAUUAAAGUUUGAGGACCAAAGUGACAGGCACCUCAUAGUCUAAGCACCAAAAGUGUAAUUUACCCAAUAUAUAGUAGAGACAUAUAUCAUAACCAUUCAAUACCUCAAGUUCCCAAGUUUAGAGUUCACCUUCCAUCCUAGGAUUAUUUAAGGCAAAAUUACGAAACAUGUUUAAAAUAAUUCACAUUGACUCAUCCUAAUUUGAACAACGUCUCUCUUAACCCCACGAUAACUCUGAUGCUAAAUCAUGUUUGGGCUAAUGGUCAUAACAAAGUUAGACUUACACCUUUGAGAAUAGUGACCUAUGUAAACUCAUUAGCGACAGAAGCAGCAAAUUGAGUCCCUCAAAUGUUUCUUAUCCAUCACAACAUCCAAAGCAUAACUAUAAUUGUCUUAAAGUUGACUUUGUAGACCAGAUAUGAAAAUAUUUCCUGCAUUUCUUGUGCACCUCAACCUUUACAGGUACGCAUUUCCUCCUAUUUUUUUGAAUAGGACCUCAAGUUCAUUUUGGUAUUGUGGCAUCUACUGGCACACGAAUCCACAAAAAAGAACAAUAUAUACACGCAGAAGUUCAACAGUAGGGAUUAGUCUUCGCAUUUGUAUCGUUGUAUUACAUGUUAUUAAUCAUUCAAUCAGGCCUCUUAGUAGCGAGAAUCGAUAUCGAAUUCUCAUACCAAUGUGUGUAAUCCUUAAUUCGAUGAUAACUUAAAUGGAAUAAGAACAGAAAGCAAAACCAAGAAAAAAACUUACUAGGAGUAAGCUCUCCCUCAACACGACCUUCUACUUCACCAUUGCAUCUGCAUCCAUCCCGCAAUUCUGAACCUCUCCCAGCUACAAAAGACCGUGCUUCGCCCCUCUUCCUGCGGCUCGUUGGAACCACCACCACCCCAUUCAAGACGCCCUUUUUCUUGCAAGAAUCUCCAUUUCCCUGCCCCGACGACAAACCCCCACCCUUCUUCGCGGCCCGACCCUUGAUCAGCGGCCUCAGCGGGAAAGCCCUAACCCGGCCGACCUCACCGAGGAUCAAGCACCCCAUCGCCGCCGCCAUCGCGUAGAUCGGGGUCGAUAAUUCGAUCACCGCGCACUUGCUCAGCUCGACAACGGCCGCGGCCUCUGAGGUCCGCGCGGCGAGGAUCCAGAUCUGGGCGGCGGCGAGGGAGUGGAGGGCGACGGCGUUGACGGAUCCGGCGAGGCGGACGCCGAGGCCGAAGGGGAGGGCGUCGACGGCGAGGCCCCGCGCCGCGGGAGCGGCGGGGGCACGGGGGUUGAGGGCGAGCGAGGCGGGGGCGAAGGCCGAGGCGCGGGAGGGGAGGGACCAGGCGCGGAGGAGGACGGAGGCGGAGGGGGAGGGGGAGGCGGCGAGGAAGAGGACAUGGGCGGGAGAGGAGGGCGAGAGAGGAUGCGUGACGAAGCAUCGCGGCGGCCGAUGGAGGACGAGAUGGGGGGCAGAGAGGUAGAGAGGAUGAGGAGGCAAGAUGGGAAGAGGAGGGGGAGAGUCGGAGAGAGAGGAGCAAGGGGCGAGGAAUGGAGGAGAGGGAGGAGGAGAGGGCUCGGAGAGGAGAGAGACCGCGGCCGAGCGGGUGAGGGGGAGGGAAUGAAUUGUGGGCGUGGAGAGGCGCGCGGCAGCGCGAGGCGGACGGAGGCAUAACCGGCCGCGUGUUGCGGAUAGUAGCCUAAGCGGGCAUAGUGAUUGGAUGUCGGGAUGGUAAGCGAGAAGGAUCAAACGGGAGGGUGGUUUUGAUAUAUAGGACCACUGCUGUUGAGACUUUGAGGAUAGUAAUUGCUCUACAGUUCUUUUUUUUAUUUUAUAAAAAAAAUUAAUUGAUUAUAUAAUUUUUUAAAAAAAUUAUUUGAUUAAAUAGUCUUUUACCAUCAACUUAACGCCAAAGUGGAUGAAACUAUACAAGACGGUAAAGCGGUCACCGUCUUCAGAAAGACGAUGAAUCAUCUUUAUUGUCUUUUAAAUUUUCUAUAGCUUUCAAAUUUAUUCUAAACAAAUACAAACCGCUCAAUCCAAGCCGCCACCGCCCCCAUCGAAGCUGGUUUUGAAUUCCUUCACAAAAAAAGGAUUUUGAUGAGAAAGAGUGACGUCGGAACUUAAAGGGGACGAGAAGAUAGAACAAAUAUGAAUCGAUAAACACUUGACCUGUCUUAGAAUCUACUACGUCGAACUCGAGUAUACUCACCACUAUACAGAAUCCACCAACACAAUGAUUGAGCAACACUCUUCUCUCACAAUAAAUCAAUCUAACAGAUAGAAGUAAGAAGAAAUUCUUCUUUUCAAAUAAAAGUAGAAACUUCAACUCAACUUAACUUAUUUAUUAUCAUAAAAUUGUUAUAUAUAUACAGGCUUACAAAAAAUCUUUCAAUGUUCUUACGCAUUAACUCACUUAUAAUUUUCACAAAAAAUCUAAAUGACAUUUCUAGAAAUACUAUAAGCUACACAUUAUUCUAGACUACCAUAAUUUUUUUAAGAAAACAAAAAAGACAAUUUAUAAAAAAACUAAGGGACACAUUUAUUUCAAAACUAUUAUUUUUUGAGCAAUGCCUUCAUCCAUCAAUUUCAAGAAUGGUGUCAUGCUUCUCCUGUUGAAAAGAAUUAAUCCUCAAGUUUGGUAUGUAGAUCGUUUUUAUAAUACCGUGAAAGAUCUACAAUAUUGAAAGUCGCCGAAAUAUUAUAAUUAACAGGCAACUCGAUUAUAUAGGCAUUCUCUCAUAUUCUCUUAAGCACCUUGAAUAGUCCAUCUGCCCUUGGUUUAAGCAUACCACGUCGGCCUUGUCAAAAGCGCUCCUUGCAAAGAUGCACCCACACUAAAUCCCUCCUCUUUGAAGGUUGCCAAUUUGCGAUAUUUGUUAGCAGCCUUAUUAGGUUAGUAGCACUCGGCAGUAGGUCGAUACAAUGUUGGAUCUCCCGUAAAUGUGGAAGGGCGAGUGGAAUCUUCUCCAGUAUUACAUCUUGAAACUCGUGAAUAAAAGAUUCAAUAAUAGAAGGUAUUUCAUUCUCUAUUUUAUUUUCCUCUACGAUAAGUAAAGUAUAGGCCUCAUUGGACCUUGAUCCUGACAACUCCUUAAGAAAUAGUGAUUUAGAGCAUAAGCUUUUAUCCUAUUCUAUAGAAAGUUGGGAUAAAUGCUUAGGUUUGGAUGGAUCUAAUGUGACUUUAACGCCAUUUUUGGUAAAGGUAUAAGUGUUCUUAAAGCCAUUAAGCAUGACUUUUCUAUCACAAUGCUAAAGACAUCCAAAAAGUAAGUGACAUGCAUCCAUAGAGAUGACAUCACAUCACACCUCAUCUUUAUAAUUUUUUCCAAUAGAGAAGUAAAUCAAGCAUAUUUUCUCCACUUUCACAUCACUUUCUUUCUUAAGCCAAGAGAGCUUAUAUGGUUGGGGAUGUUUCUCUACAUGAAGUUGUAGUUUUUCUAUCAUAGUAAUAGAAACCACAUUUUCACAACUAUCUCCAUCUAUAAUAACAUUAGAUAUUUUGCCAUGAAAAGUGCACCAUGUGAAAAAUAUUGUUGCAAAGCCAAUCAUCAUUCUUGACGGAUGUAGUGCUUAAGGCUUGCUGUAUGACAAGAGCCUCACCUCCAUUGCCAUAAGUGACUUCAUCUUUCUUUUCAACCUCUUUAUUAUACACGAGUGAUGUAGUUUCAAGACAUUCAUUUUCAUUAGAUGUCUCCUCCAAGAGAGUAACAAUUCUUUUAUUUGGAUAUUCAGAGGCAAUGUGUCCGAGGUCUUGACAUUUGUAGCAUCGCCGUGGGUUGGAGUUAGAAAAACUAGGAUGACUGGAAGCAGCCACCAUCUCUUGUUUUUGUGAAGAUUUUUGGGAUACGGCCUUAGAAGCUUCAGAAGAACUCUCCCGAUUAGAAGUGUUCUCACGGCCUAUGGAUCAAGUACCACUGGCAUUUUAUAGGCAACGCUCUUCCUUUGCCUUGAGUUGCCUCUUUGCCUUAAUCGCAAACUUGUAGACAUUAUUGUAUGCCCAAUAAUGUUGAACGUUAAUGAUGUCGAAAGUCUCACGAUGAAACCUACCAAGAAACCGAGCGAUAGUUUGCUCAUUCGGUUCAUAAAUGCCACACCACAUAUCAAACUCCUAUGAGUACUCCUCAACGGAGCGAUUCUCUUAUUUCAGGCAGUAAAACUUAAGAAAAAUAUUUUGCAUAUAGUGUUUUGGUAAAUACUUCUUCUUGAGUUCUUUCUUCAUUUUCUCCCAAGUUUGUAUUUUUUAUUUUCCUUCAUGAGCUCGUCGAAUUUUGAGUUACUCCUACCAAAUAAAUGUAUGCUUUUUAAACUUGAUGGCCAAAGGCUUUACUUUACAGUACUCGAGUACCUCUUCAUAUUCAAAUAUCCACUCUACAGUGUGAAGCCAAUCAGUGAACUCAUUAUGUUGCAUCCUUUUUUCGAACUCAGGAAUAUUAACUUUGAUGCCGAGAUCCCGACAGAACUCAUACAAAAAAAUUAAUAAUUAGUCGCAUAUAUAAAUAUUGUUAUAUGAAUAAGAAAUAUAUCUAGAUCUUUUAACAACAUUUAAAGAUUAAUGUUGUCUAUGCCCGUGUUGCUAAAUCAUUUAGCAGCAUAUAGAAAAUUGUUGCUGAUACUGAAUGGUAGCAACACUUGAUAAAUAUGAGUAGAGCUACUAUACUAUCGGAAGCAUAAAUUGGUUGGUGCUUUUGAUUUUUUAGUUUUUAGAUCAACUCAUUGAUCAUUUCUAACUAUUGGAUUAAUAUUAUUAACCAAUGCGGACCACUCAACCCUAGGGGGACCACUCAACCCUAAGGGGACCGCUGUCAUCCCAACCGUAGAAUCUUUGAUUCAAUGGCUAAAAAAUCGGAAGCACCAACUACUUUAUACUUCCGAUAGCAUAGUAGCUCUACACGACAAAUAUUGCUAUAGAUAAAUUUGAUAAGAUAUUUUCAAAAUAAUUGUAUAUGUAAUGUAAUUAAUUCUUACAUUAAUAAAUACUGCUAAUUCAUUUUGAAUUUUUUUGUCAUAAUUGACAAUUGUAGCAUUUAAAAUUAAUUUAAUUAAAUUAUUAUUAAUUUUUUGAUUAAUUAUUAUAUUCAUAAUUUAUAAAACUCACUCAUACCAAAUAACAAACAAUAAUGUACAUGAUAGAUAUCAAUCAAAAUUCUAAUUAAUAUAUAUAUAAUAUAAUUAAUUUGAAGAACAAUGUUAUACAUUAGAUAUUAAAAAAUAUCACAAAUUGUUUGAUACAAAAGGUAUCUAAUAAAAUGAUAGUAGUAUAAAUACUAUCAUAAUAAAAUGAAAGCUAAUUACUUCACGAACAUUUCUUCAAUUUGAACUUACCAUGAUGUAUGUAGCUCUACUUGUGCUUAACCUUUUAAAAAAGAGUAUCUAAAAAUUAAAUUUGAUUUACAAAGUUAUAAAAUAUAAUAAAAAAAUUUAAAAGAAAAAUUAGUAUUUUGUGCAUAAAAACGUAUAUGGUCAAGCCACCGAUACACCUACGAUAUCUCUAAUGGUCAAAUAACUUUUAUAAGGUCUUAACAAUGGCCCAUUGCGAAGUAUUGGUACAUCUAUCUAAACUUUCCAAUAUUGUGAUCCUAACUCAACUCUUACUUUCGUCGUGGAAUUUUUACUUAAUAUAUAACCUCUUACCACGUUACCAUAAUACCUUUUUAAACUUUUCAAAUACACUUCAUUUCCACCCUUCAAUCAACAAAGAAACAAAUCAAAUAUUACAUGCAUUUUGAUGAAAGAAAUAUAUAAAAAUAACAAAAAGAAAAAUAAUAAAAAACAUCAAGAAGAUAACCCGACCAUCUAAUAGGAUGAGAAAAUUCUUCACAAUAUUUUUAGCUCAAUGUGUCUGUAACAAAAUGUCUAAUAUACUUAGCCAAUAUUAUUUUUCAAUAUUAUAAAUCAAUCCGACAAGAAACAUAUAGCUGUAAAUGAUCUAAGGUAUCAUGUAUUUUUAAUUGCGUUACAUUUAUAACUAUAUACAAUCAAAAACUUAAAUUAAAAUAAUAGCUUCAUAAUUUUAAUUAUUUCAACAAAAUUAAUAAUGUUAAUAUACCUUUAAUAAAUAAAAUUUAGAAUAAUCAACGGCUAAUAGAAAAUAGAACCAUUAAAUUUAAUUAAAUUGUUAACUGAAUUAACUAAAACAACUCAAAUUCAAUAUGAAGUUGAUAAGUUAUUUUUAAAAAGAUCUAUUUCAAUAGGAGAAAUUCUCUAUAUAUUUUCACCACUAUUUAUAUGAAAGAAAGGAUAAAAAUUAUAGAUGCGUAAUUAAAAUUCAAAAAAAUUAAGGGCACAUUAGUAGGGCCAUAAAUUUCAAAAAUCAAAUAAUAAUCAAAGCUAAUUUAAGCCAAUAGCACUAAAAAAAACAUAUAAUAUAUAAAAAUAUCUAAACCAACAAUAAAAAUACAAUUCAAAAGAGUAGUUUUUACUAUUUCCACCCAGUUAAAAAGCUACAAAGACUUUUUAUUGAAAAAUAAAAUGCCAUGAAAAGCUCCAAAAACUAUUUCUCCUCAGAGGAGGGGACUACAACUAGCGGACCAUAACCACAUAUGUUAAUUAAAAAAUCUAAUAUUAUGACAAUAAAAAAGUAUAGACACUAUUUAAUUCCAUAUAUUUGAGAAUCAGGAGGAGAAAAAGAUGCACCAAGUUAAGGAAAAAGAAACUGCCCAAGCUUUUUCCGCUUGUAAAGGCUGCGAUGGCUUUUUUUUUUUUUUUUUUGAAACGGGUAGCUAGCUAACUAGUUAAGUAAAAAGCCCACUUUAUUUUAUUUCAAAUCCUAAGUUUGCCCUAUUCGACACCCCCUCCAAAGAAAAAAAAAAAAUCAUAUAUGAAAUAGAAAAAUUUAACCACACUAUUUAAUGUGCUAAAUAUUAAAUUAGUAUAUUAAAUAAUUUAUAUAUAGUAAAUAUUAAAAUAAAUAUCUGUAUAUUAUAUAUAUAAAAUAAUUUUUUUACGAGUCUAUUUUCGGCAUCGGGUACCGAUAAAAAUAAUAAUUCCAAUCGGAAUUUAUUGAAUUUUUAUUUUUUAUACCCAUAAUCGAACCAAUACAUCUUUACUAUGGAUUAAACCCGACACAUUUGGGUUUGGGGUUGAGUUAAUUUUCAGUAUCUUUUCUCAUUUACAUGACUAAAAAUAGCAAAUAUUGUAUUGUGGCUUUAAUUAAUUGAUCAAAUUAAUAAUUUACAUUUACAAUUAAAAUUAAAGAAUUCCAAUGUAAAUUUAAAUUUAGAAUUAAAAUUAAUAAUACAAAUUCAAAUAUGUAAUUUACUACAACAUUCAUAUUCAAGUUAAAAUGUAUUACUAAAAUUAGUUCCAAAAUCAAAUUUAAAUUUGAAUUUUAUGUUUGAAUUGUAAACUGAAAUUUGAAUUCAUAUCUUAAACAACUAUUAAAUUUAUAAUUUUAAUUCAUAUAUAAAAUUUAUAAUUUGAUAUCCAAAUUUUUAAUUAAAAAUUUAAGUUAAAAAAUUAAACAUUUAUUUUUUACCUAAGCUUUAAUUCAAUUUAAAACUAUAAGUUAAUUAAAAAAUAUAUAAGUUUGUAUAUGUGGGCAAAUUAGUUUGACCACUAAUAAAUUUCCAUGCACUUGUUUGUGCAUCUAGGACAUUUCUUAAUUAACUACCAAUAUUUUGUAUAACUUAUGUUAUUUUCAUAGUUAUUUUAUAAUUAUUCUUGUAUACAAGUUUUAAAUAUUAAUUCUUAUUGUGAAAUAUAAUAAAUAUUAAUUCUUAUUUUCAUAGUUAUUUUAUAAUUAUUAUCGUAUACAAGUUUUAAAUAUUAAUUCUUAUUGUGGCAGAUAAUACUAUAUGCCGGUAAUUAUAGUCUUUAGCAAUGUUUAUUAUAUAAUGUUGGUGAAUUUAUAUAUUCAGCAACACUUUUAUUUGUGUGUUAAAUAGUAGCAUAUUCUUAAAUAUUGCUAGAAAAAUAUUAGUAAAUAUUAAUAUUAUUGUAAUGAGGUUGCCAUCGUAGAAAACCUUCCUCAUUAGGUGCCCUUUUACGAGCAUUAUUAAAAAUGUUGAUAUUCUCCUUGUCUUCUUGCUUUGAACUAUGAUGGGAAUCAUCAUAUUCUAAAGCUUUAAAACGAGCAAGUCGCUUCUCAAGAAGUCACACUUGUCUCCGCAAGUCAUCUUCCCUCUCAACAUCCUGUAAAUCUCGCUCGCGCAUUGCAGGAUCCUCCAUGUACAUACCACAAUUUCGGUUGUUGGCUAUCUUGAACAUAGGGCUCUAGUACCAAUCUGACGCCAGAACUUAGAGGGGACGCGAAGAUAGUACAAAUACAAAUCGAUAAAUACUCGAUCUGUCGUAGAAUCCACUAUGUCAAACUCGAGUACACUUACCACUAUAUAGAAUCCACAAACACAAUGGUUGAUCAAUACUCUUCUCUCACAAAAAAUCUAUCUAAAAGAAAAGAGUAAGAAGAAAUCCUUCUUCUCAAAUAAAAGUAGAAACUCCAACUUGUUUAUUAUUAUAAAAUUGUUACAUAUAUAUAGGCUUACAAAAGACCUUUCAAUUUUCUUACGCAUUAAUUCAUUUAUAAUUUUCAUAGAAAAACUAAAAAAUAUUUCUAAGAAUACUAAAAGUCACACAUUAUUCUAAACUACCAUAAAUUUUUUUUUUUAAAAUAAUUUAUAGAAAAACUAACACAUUUAUUUUAAAAUUAUCAUUUAUUAAGUGAGUAAUGACUCCAUUCAUCAAUUUCAAGGAUAGUGUGAGAGAGAGAAAGGGGAGGGGGCGAUGAUUUGAUUGUUUGGGUGCUAUAGUGUGUUGAUAGUGUAUAGAUUGAUAAAUUCUAUACCCACCAGAUUUUCACUAUAAUUCUAGUAUUCAUCAUAACUUAUUGGGCCUGAAAGAAGCCCACAAACUUUUAGGGGAGUUUACAAGUUUGAAAAACAAAUGGCCGGGCCUCCCAUGCCCACAGCUUCUUUUAUAUAUCGAAGGAUUUCUAAAAUCAAUCGAGAGUCCGCCUUCGCUCGCUCGCUCGGUCGCCCUCUCUGUCUCUGUCUCUCUCUCUCUCUCUUCUCCCCUCCCCUCUCCUUCCCCGACCUCUCUCCCCUUCUCUUUCUUUCUCCCUCUCUCGUUUCCUCCUCUUCCCACGCACGUCCCCCUCACGUGCUCUUCGUCGACCCUCUUCUCCCGAAACCCUAGAUCGGUACCCGCUCUAACUCCCAAAACCCUAGGGCUAGGGCUAGGGCUAGGGCUAGGGCUAGGGCUAGGGUUAGGAGGCGUCACCCUAAUUAAGGGCUCAGCUUGCGCCGUAAUGGAGCUCGACGACCGCCGCCGGAGCGGCGCGGCAGCGGCGGCGCCGCCUCCGCCCGAGCGCGCCGUUCGGGCUUCUCGCGCCGAUUCUUCUCGUGUCCUCGAGUAUGAUCCCCGCUCCCCUGUCCUCUCGAUAUUUGUGUGUUAAUUUUGUUUGUGUAGUUUUGUUUUCAAGAAAUUAAGAUAGGCGACAAAUUUUUCAUGGCGUGUUCGCUUAAUUUGUUCGGUGGGAGGAGUAAGCAAUUGGCGCGGGGGAUUUGUUUAGGGUUUUGUACUGCAAUAAUUGGGAAUCACUAUAUUUUUCGGAAGAUUUGUUUUUUUUUUUUUUUUUUUUUUUUUUUUUUUUGUUUUGUUUCUCGAGAAUUAGUUGUGAACUUUUGUGAUUCUAUUUUGUUUUCUGUUUUCAGAAUUAGGUUUAGUUAUAAUAAUUAGUUCUGACAUUUCAAGAAUUCGAUUCUAUUUCCCUUUGAUGAGUAGAGAUCGAAUGACUUAAUUUUGUAGUUUUCAUGUACUCAGGAGUUAUUAUUGCGCCUUUUCUUUGUAACUUUUUUUUCCCCCCGGAGUAAGAGUCUGUUACAUAAUCAAUUCUGAUAAUUUUGAAUUCAAGUUGUUGCCUAUUUUAUGACUAGAUUUCGAAUCCCUGAUUCUUGUAAGUAGCUGUAUAAAGUUUAUUGUUUUUUUUUUUUUUUUCCUUGCGAGAAUUACAAACUGUGGCUGAUAUUUCUUUUUGUCUGAAAAUUAGGUUUUCAGUGUUUACCACACAAAGUUAAGGUUUCAGUGUUUACACAAAUUAGGAUUUCACUGUUUGUCUGACAUUUUUUUGUAUGAAAAGCGAGAAAGAUUAUUAUUUGACUUAUAUAAUUAACUAGUUAUUUGGUGGGUCAUGAAAAGAUCUAUUGUCAUGAAAAGAUCUAUUGUAAGUGUUUUUGGCAAGAUGAAGGGCAUGCCUUGAUUUCUUGGCCUCAAUGUUUGAUGAUUGCUAUUUAUUUUUAAGCUCAAUUCUUGAUGCUUCCCUUCCAGGUAGAAGGAACAUAUUAAUUGCUUGUUUUUCCUCGCUUCUGAAACAGUUUUGCUAGUUAAAUUAGCAGCUUUUGUGUUUGACAAUUAAAAAUUUGAAGUUUUUUCUACGGUAGGAAGCUCCUAGGAGGGUCAGGGUCCCAAGAUAGCAGGCUCUGACUAAAAGAUUUUGCUUUUGCUGCAGCGGAACAGUGUUGGAACAAAUUAAUGAAAAAGCUGUACUUUGUUUUUUGAGCAGACUGACUCAAACAAUCCAGCUGGGUCAAACAUGCUCUCAUAUAAGAAAAGCAAAACUGCAAAAGAAACCUUCUACUAUUACUUCGGUGUUUUCAUCCGGCUUAUUUUUUUUGCAUUGAUUGAUCUUAGUAACUAAUCUAUUUGAUACUUUUCUUCCUUGUAUAUUGAAUCCUUACGAUUUUGUUUUCUCUGAGCAGGUUUUUGAAAGAGGUCGGCAGGGAGAUAAGUGAAGAUUUGGUUGUACUGAUGCCAAACUUAUUAUCCCUUUUGAAACAUGACGACCCUGCUGUUGUUAGGCAAUCAAUUGCUAGUGGGACAAUUUUAUUUGGCGCUGUCUUGGAAGAGAUGGCACUCCAGGUGCUUUUUUGUAAAAACGGAUGCUAUAUUAAAUGGAUGAAUACAAUUCCUCAUUCGUGUAAAGAUGACUUUGUGGUGCUGCUGUGGUUUCUUGAUGAGUUUUUGUUUUUAUUGUUUCUGUUGCUAUAUGUUUGCCCAAACAGCUAAUGAGAGUGACGAAUUGAUGUUAGAGAAGCAUUUCACUGCAACAGAAGCCUUUCCUCGAAACAAAAUCAAUACUUAAAUUUUCUGCCUCCAAUUUAAUAAUAGUGUGUUUAAAUUCAAUGUGCAUCCCACUAAUGAAAACAAAAUUCGAGGCUUUGCUCUUAUUGCUAUUAAGGACAUAAAUGAGGCACAAAUUAUGGAACCUUGGUUAUGGUUUUGGAUCCCUUUACACUGUAAACCACUCAAUUCUGAUGCAACACUGAAAGGAUACUGGAUUUUCUGUUAUUGUGAUCCUUGAGAAUGUAUAAAAGGGAGAGAGAGAGAGAGAGACAUGAAUUUGAGAAGAUUGCACAUUGCAACCAAGUGAAUUACUCAUUUGCUGUGAUUAAGUUUGACGAUUCCCCAUGGCUUUUGAGUUCUCCCAACCAUUCUAUGUGUAAUAUAUAAAGAUUACCAGCAGAAGCAGAAAAGAUUCUUAUGUUGUCCUCUUUUAAGAUGCUUAUGAAAGAAAUUGGUACUACUUUUCCAUUUUGGUCCCAAUUUAUUCCUUUGACCUUUAGUGCUGCUAUUUUUCACUUGAUUUUUGACAGCUUUUGAUCAUGCAUUACUGCAUAGUGGGAACACUAGUUAAGAUAGGGGGCAAGAAUAAAACGGAGCGACCGCGUGAUUGUUAUACAUAUUGCACUGGUAUCUUGUACAAGAACAAGAAGCCGCAAUUCGUGUUGGUGUUAUGAAUAGAAAAUUUGUAGGUGGACAGGGUACUGAAUUGUGCCUAUUCAGUAGGUUAGUGCAUGUGUGGUUUAAAUAAGAUAAAGAAAAUUAUAAUGAGAAAAAUAAAAAGCAAGAAUAUGUAAUUAAUAAGAAGAAAAUUAGAAGAAUAAAAGAGUAAGAAUAUUACAGAACAUAUAAUUAGCUACUUAAAUGUUGUAGGACAUUGUGACAUUAUAUGUGUUGAAGUUUCUAGUAAAGUAGAAAAAAUAAUCUUAGUACGAAAUAAUGAGUAAGAAAAAUAGAAACAAAGUUUAUCUAUCAUUCUGAAUAUAUCAUUCUUAUUUGACUCUCACUAGGAUAAUCUCAAUGGUUAAAAAGUUAGAAAUCCCUUAGAUCGAUUGGCAAGUUGAAUUGCACAUUAUGGUUUUAAAUUUGCAUGGAAGUAACACAAGAACCAUAUAUUGUUCUAUUUUCAGUGUUUGCUGAAAGCUGACUUUUUGCAUAGCGAGUAGGCGUCAUAUAUCAUAACUAUAAAGCAACUCGCCUGUUGUCAUGCACUUAAAUAUAUAUUGAUUAAGCAUGCAGAUGAUCAGCUACAUAAAUAUUAGGACAUUAAUAUUAUUGUGUAGGUUUAUACAUUUUAUCUUGUAUUGAUUAAUUUGGAUUUCUGUUUUCUUGCAUUAGCUCAUUGCAUUUUCGCACAUUUUUUAUUUGGUUAUAAUUCUUCUAGUAAGCAUUUUUUGGAAAAGCUCUGAUAUGUUAUACAUUGUUUUUAGUAUCCAGGUUAUUUUUAGUUAUGCUUUGCAUAAAUUGCGUUGUUACCAGAAUAUUAUAUAGACACCAGGAGGUACCUUCCUUUCGGAAAUCAGAAUCUUAGCAACUAGCUGUGCUAUAUGUUCAGUAUAUUGGAUGAUCACAAGGUAUUUACAAACAGGGUGCAGAUUUGAUGAAAAUACCAAUUGGUGAUAUGAUUCAAGAAAUCAUCUAAGGUGAUUGUUCAUGUCAGAAUUUAAGGAUUCAGAUCAAAUGGAAGAUAUUGCAGAUGGAAAUUACUGAAAAUUCUUGGUAAAGAAAGAUACAGUGGUCACUUAGGAUGAUUGUGCAUGCUGCAUCAAGUUUUAGUUUUUGUGUAGAAGCCAUAAUGUUAUUUGAGUAAUACCUAGUUUUGGGCCCUUUCUGUUACUAUUUGAAGUUGUCAGACCUUGAUUGAUCUUUUUGUAUGUGAACUCCUAUAAGUUAAUUGUUUCAAAGUUUAAGAUGUCGAUUAGGAAUAGUUUAAGUUGGUCUUUUGAUAUCUCAGUUUUGGUGGAUCAAUUUGUACAAUUUUGAGAUUUAGGAGACAAAAUAUCUGAAGUGACUGGCAAUUGAAUAACCCUAGAAAUUUAAGCUGUUCCACUACCACUAUGUAUUAAGAUGAUGCUGUCUGUUGUUUCAGAAGUACUACUGCUUUGAACAUUAUCCUUCUGUAGGAUUCCAGCUAGAAAAUAUAUAGUACGGUAAUGAGAGCAGAGCAUGUUACUUUUUUGAUUUGACACUACACAUGCAAAAUUCUUAGUAGAGGGAUCCCAAAUGUAUAUUUUGCUGUCAAGGUUGUCUAAUGGUCACUAGGAAGAGUGAGACCCCUAACUGCCUAAGUGUCACUUGGGGUGUUCGGGGCAAUCUAUGGGCUUAUUUAAAAUGUCUGCUAAGCAUAUUUGGAAAGCAACUUGGAAAAGCUUUGGAAAAUCGUCUCAUUUACCUAAUCAGAUUGUCUCAGAUAUUGAUCAUAAGAAACUAGAAUCUAGGAUAUUCCCAAUAUGAAUGUGCUGCCACUUGACUCGUAUGAAUUCAGUAGUACAUUUUCCAAAAUACCAUAAACCCAGGAAAAAGAGUGCAAACCAAAUAAUAAGGUACAUAUUUUUGUUAAUUGUACUUCCUCAUCCUCCUCAUUCUAUGUUCUCUAUCUAAAAAAGAUAAAUAAAUAAACAGUAUAUAUGUACCAGUAUUAUGAUUUCCUUUAGCUAAAGUUAGUAGUCACAAGUUAAUAGUCACCAAGGUGGCUGACAUGGCUGGGCUAAGGUGGGAGCUAGGUAGUUAUCUAAUUUUUAAUGCAUCCAAUCUGUUGAAAGCUAUCUAAUUAACUUGUGCCUAACUGCUCGGAGCUUAUAAAACUCCUUGAUGGAUAACUUAGAUUCCUGUGCAGUUUUUUGACAAAAACCUUAAGAACUAAAUUUUUUUACUUCAAAAGGCAUUACACUGACAAUUUGCAUGAAAUUCAUGAAGACCCUCAUUGUGGAUUUCAUAGUGCAAUUUAUUUCCUUGAUAUUGAGUGAACUUGUUGGAACCAAAGGGAUAAUUGAACAGCUAUACCUAGGCUGCAAUUUUGACAACUUAUUUAGUGCUAAUUUUUCCUUCAAAGAGGGUAAGCCUCAACAGAGCUAAAUCAUUCCUCCACCCUUUUUGAAAUUGAACAAAUAAGGAGCAAGCUAACAUGUUUUUACAUUUCUAUUCAUGAUCCUUUUCGCAAUUCAUUUCUUGUUUGUUUUUGUCCUUGGCCUUUAAUAUGAGCUAUCAUUUCCAUUGUGUAGUAAUAAUGUUUGUUUGUUUUUUUUUUUUUAAGUACAGCUAAAUUCAUCUGGUAGAGUUGAUGGUUGGCUUGAAGAAAUGUGGUCUUGGAUGCUUCAGUUCAAGGACAGAGUUCAGGAUAUCAUGAUGGAGGUGUGCUUCAACUUUCUAAGCCAAUGAUAAAUAUUAUUGCAAAUUUCCUAAUUGUUUACAUUGCUAUAUUGUGUAGUGUUAUAUGAUGUCAAACGCAUUUUAAAAAUACUAUGCAGUUACAAUAAAUUUUUGGCAUGAAACUAGUUUGCUUUAUAGUUAUUAUAUUGUUGUUCUCCUCCCUUUUGUGUUUCUGUUUGCCUUUAGUAUCCAGUAAAGUGCCCAGGGAUUUAAGUAUUGUGGCACCAAUACCUGGUUGGUGCCGCAGGGUUAGGAAAAUAAAAUGGAAAAGAAAAAGCCAGAGCGGCUUGGGUAUCGCUCUGGAGCGGCAUAAAAUUAUACUAGGUUAUUGUGGCACCACCCCUAUACAUACUAGGUUAUUUUGGCGCCAUCCCUAUACAUGUUACGUUGUGCAACUGGCAAGACUUGCACAAACUUCUUGCUUGUGCAUUUUUUAUCCCCAUUUAUCGUAGUGCUUCCACUGUUAGAUUAGAUUUUGAUAUGGGCCCAGGGCUGUGUUGCUAGCUAUUCUAUCCACCUAAAGAGAAUUACAUUAAUUUUUAUUUUAGAAAUCUCAUGAUGCUUCUUUGAAUAGAAAAUGCUGUAACAUUCUUUUAUAGAUUACUUGCUUAUAUUUGUUUUUCCAUUGAAAUUGUUCCAGCCUGGUUCUAUUGCUACGAAGUUGCUUGCUCUGAAGUUCCUUGAAACUUGUGUUAUCUAUUUCACGCCUCAAGCCAAUGAUGAGGAAUUAACUUUAACAGAAGGUACUAUUCACUUUUUCUGUACUUAGUGUCAGUUGAUUUACAGUGGAAAGACUCGGUAAGAAAACACGAAAAUACAAAGAAAUAAAAACAUAUACUAGCCUGCAAAAAUUAGUUUUACAUAUAUAUACCUGCUUCUUUUUCUUAAUGUGAUAUGAUUUACGACAGAAAGGCUGUUCAAGAAAAUAUGAAUAGAUGAAAACAUAUAUUACCCUGCAAAAAUUAGUGUUACAUUUAUAUCCCUGCUAAAUGGACCAAGUAGCAGCACAACUUUGUGGAAACCAUUCAUAUUUUUUACUCACUUGAAUAUGUACUCGGCAUUUGAUCAUGACUGAUCAUUUGGAAGAGAGCUUAUUUCUUCCUUUCAUCUUAUCUGGCUAGCUGUCCCUCACUCUGGCGCUUGGUUUAUUGGUUGACCUUUUCAGCCGCUGACUUGCUUUUACUGCUCUCCUAUAGCAUAAGCUCACUCUUGUAAAAAUUGCCUUUCUUUGAGGACUCCUAACGCAAAACCAACCUACGUGUAUUGGAUGACUUCCCUGUUCAUGAGGGUAUUUUUAUGAGGUUAUGAAAGUUUUCUCUUCAAGGAUAUAAUGAAAAUCAGAUAUGACAGAGUUGUAUAUUGAAUAGAUGAUUUUGCAGGGACAUUUGUAAAAGUCUUAAUAAAAAUUAUUUAAACAUGUAAUUAGCAUCUAUUUAUGCAAGAAGCUUAGUGUGUAUCAUCUUGUAAAUUGUUCAAUCAGGAAAUGGACGGAGAUUCACUAUUUCCCAAUUAACUCGCAGUCAUCCUAACUUCAAUGUAGCCAUCCUGGAAACUGAUGCAAAUAUAAUUGUUGGUUUCCUGCUGGAUAUGCUGCGGUCAGCGAAUAAUUUUCGUGGUUCCUUUACAGUUUCUGUUAUUACUUGGUGAGUUUUGAGAUCCCUAUUAUCACUUAUUUUACUUGCUAACAUGCAAAGCAAAGAAAGAAUUCCUUAGUCUCGAAAUUGUGUUAAUCUUAUACUGCAAAUUUAUGGUGGUAAGGAGUUCGCUUUCUCUGUUUCCUUUGUGCAUUUUGUUAUGCUGGGAGUAAUGAUGAUGAGGAAGUUUCUCUAUGUUCAACUAACUAGAAAGUAAAGUAAGGAUUUUUAGAGCUGUCUGAAGAUAACAUUGAUGACAGUCAGCAAUGAAUAUAUGAUUGACGCUCGGUAGAACACUAUUUUUGUCUUUCUUUUCAAUGUGAAAUUUUAUUGCGUAAGAAUUACACAAUAAAACUAUAUCUGUUUUUAGUUUUAGUUAUGCAUUUCUUUAUAUGUCUGGUUUCUCUGUGCAUCUGAACUCGGUGGGAUGGAUUGGGAGUGGGGGUUGGUUGUCCUUAUCCUGUUUGUAGAAGUCAAUUUUACUACUGUAGUUCCCAUGGUUUAUGGUAACUGGCCUUUGGCCUCUCAUAUUUAUGAGAAAGACUUUGAGCCAAACCAUAUGCAUUGUCAAAUUUUAGGUUCCAUAUUUCCCUAUUUUCAGUAUUUCUCUAGCAAAAAUUUACUUGCCUUUUAUUUGCCUUCCAUUUUAUGUUUUGCUUGCUGGUUACUAAAACCUUUUCAAGACUUUUUUUUUCCUCUCCCGUUAAGUAACAUAUUUUCUACCUAUCUAAAAACGCUGGAUCACUAUUGCAACCUUUUGCAAAUCUUUUCUUGACCAAUUAAAAUUGUUUUCUUGAUUGUCAGUCUUGCAGCCAUUGCAAAGAAUAGGGUGCUUCACUAUGAUCGCAUUCUCUCUUCGUUGCUUGGUUUUGAUCCUUAUGUUGAAACUGAGAGAGCUCAUUCUGCAAGCAUUCGAUAUUCAGUGAGGACAGCUUUUUUGGGAUUCUUGAGGUGUAGUCAUCCAUAUAUUGUUGAGGUGAGCAUCCUAUUUUGUUCAAUGAGCUGUUAAAUUGCAUUUUACAUCUUUGUCGUACCAAAGAAGUAGCUCCACUUCAUUGUGAAUAUGUUCAAUACAUACAUACAUAUAUAUAUGAGAGAGAGAGAAAGAGUCUCCGGCUUGUAUCUUUAUUAAUAGCAUGGAGGCCUUCAUGUUAUCAAAUUGUUUUCGAUGAUGGGACAUCUGAAUAGACGAUCGGCCUCAUUAGACAUGAUCUGUUAUAUUGAAAGUAUCUAGAAACCAAAUUUUAUAUUUUUUGAUAUCAUUUGACUAGUGAUCAAAAGGUCCCAAAGUUGAUAAUUUUAAUGGCAGAUGUGAUGCUCUUGUAAGUUUAACAGUGUAGAACAAUCCAAAUAUAAUGAAAUUUUGAUAGAAAUUUUUUUGUCACUAUUUAGAGCAAGAUUAGUACCUCUGAUCUGAAAUUUAAGUCUUUUAUCAUUGCUUUUUAAUGUGAUUUUUAUUUCAACCGGUCAUUUUGAGAUUAUUUGUUCCAUAAAUGCAAUCGACAAUUCGGAUGUCCCAUAAUUGAAACCAAUUUGGCAUAUAUAUAUAUAUAUAAUUAAUGAGAUAAUUAAACUAUCAUGGCCUUUUCUUUUCUUUUAUGUAUUCGACAUGCAAGGCAAUGGAGGAUGCUUCAACUCAUGUAUGAAAGGUUGUGAUCUGUAGGUAUAAUUUCAAUCAACAUGAAAGGCAUAGUGUACAGAUUUAAAUAUUUUAGAGUCAGUCACGAUCUAAGCUUUUAAGGCCUGUGCAAUUUGGAAUGGCUUGGAUUUCUUUUUGACUGCUCUAAGGGGAUUCUUUUACUCCUUUGAUUCUUGCUCGAGCCGGAUGAUGAAAAAUUAUCAUGUCCGGUUCCUUCGGAGGAUGGAUCCGUAAGAAUUCACCUAUCCCAAUAGCUCCAACCAGAUGACUUCUUGCAAUUUGAUGAAAGCAUCCAACUAUUAACCGAACUCGUUCUCACCUUCUUCUCUGAAUAUGUACCUUGCUAUUUCUGUUACUUAUUUUCGCUAAAGAAUAUUGUAUAAUUAUAGAAUGAUUUGAUUGGUCCUUGAAGUGUGAUUUUGUUAUUCCUAUAGUCCUAUGCGAGAUCUUGGAUAAUUUUAAUCUCAAUACCGGUCCUGAUUGGUUUUUGCUCCUUGUUACUAGAUUGUCUUCAUGAGAAGAUUUAGGUUUUUUUCAUAUUUAUAAAGAUUUUCAGAUGUAAUUUCCCCGAAGACUAGCUUAUUUUGUUUAUUCAGGUGUCAUCUGCAGAUUUCUAGCUGUAACUUCCUAGUUUUUUCCUUUUGGUUGUGGUGGUGGUGGAGGAUGAGGAGGAGGAGGAGGUGGAGGGAGGUUUUAGGGUUGGUGGUGGUUUGUGGCUGUUGGUGUUUGACUCUCUAUUUUAAAUGAUUUUAAAAGUUGAGACAACAUUUUUAAUCAAACUUGAUAUCUUCGUCUGUUAUUUAGACAACAUUGUUUUGAUCUUCAGCGUAUUUCUUACUUCUUAUAUCUUACCAAGAACUGAAUUGCUGAUUCUAUGCUUAAUUCUUUUUUUUCUCAUAGUUCUAAAUUGGCCUGAUCUCUAAGAUGCUGUAGAAUCUUUCUUGCUGCUUCUUUCUGGCUUUCUUAUGGUGAACCUAACAUUUGUACUCAUUUUUUAUAGUCCAGGGACAAGCUGCUGAGGGCAUUACGAGCCUUGUAUCCCGGGGAAGCAACAGAACAAUUAAUUAGGCAAGUUGAGAAGAUGUCAAGGAGUGCAGAGCGUGGUUCUCGUGAUAUCCGGGUUAGCAAGGUCAGGGCCUGUUUGUCAUGACUAGAGCUUUCACACAAGUCUUAAUUUACUAGAGCUGUUUGAACUAGCACUGCUACUACUUCAUCAAAGUCACAUAAACAGCUUGCUCUGCAGCCUCUGCUUCAGCGGAAGCAGCACUCAAAAUUGGAGCUUCUGUCUCUGGGGACAAAAAGACCAUUUCAGCAUCUGAUCAUAGCAUAAUAUCCAUUUGUUUUUUUAUUUGCAAAAGGCUUAAGCUUUUGUUUCUGGAGUAGAGAAGUUGCUCUAGAAGUUGGGCCAAAAGUGUCACCAAGAUUUCUUUGGAAGUUUUACGGCCUUUAUUAUCAUUUAUCAGUGAGUAGUCUGUAUGGUAUCAUAAGGAAUUAUGAGGUUUCUGAUGCAAGGUUUUAGAUGCCCAUUGUUAGGGGCUGUGUUUACUGUGCCGUACCGUGACAACAAGAUAUUGGCACGAUCAAGGUUUUAAGUGCUCGUCGGCACGGGCCGUAGCGUGCCAACAAGAUACCGGCACGAUACAGACCCCGUGCCGAUGGGACAGCUCAAAACUCUCUAUUCUUUAAAUUAGUAGAGAAUUUCCUCAAUAAAGUUCAAAAGAUGUGAUAAAAAGACAUAAUAAUACGUAGAACAUUUUGUUACUAAAGAAAAUAAAUAUUUCAUGCUAUUAUGUGUCGGCACAUAAGAAUUUUUUUGACUGGCACGCAUCAGCACGGCUCGGCACGCACCGUGCCAGCAAGUUUUUGGCACGAUCCCGUGCCACGGCACUUAAAUCCUUGAAUACGAUAUGACCUCCGUGUUGAUGGCAUGGCUCAACAUUGUCUUUUUUUUGAAAUUAGCAAGUAGUUAUCUCAAUAAAGUACAAACAACAAAAGACUUGAUAGAGAUAUAUAAUAAGCGAUUAUACAAUAUUGUUGCCAAUGAAAAUAAAUAUUUCAUGUCAUGCUGUGUCGGUACAUAGGUAUUUUUGUGACUGACGCACAUUGGCACGACACAGUACGCAUUUUGCCGUACGCCCGUACCGUGCCAGUAACUUUUCGGCACAAUCUCAUGCCAUGGUACUUGUCCUUGUUCUUAUGCAAUUUUGAUUUCAUGAUAACAGGAUGAUUCGGUGCCUGCUGAAGUGUCUGCUUCAGGUGAUCUGAUUUGGAAGAGGACUGCAUUGAAUUCUAGUGACAUUUCCACUACAUUUAAUGAGUCUCCUGCUAAGAAAGCACGAUUUGAUUUACAGGAUGAGGAUGAUCUCAUCACGGAUAAUUCUUCCAAUGGAAAUUUAAUGAAUAGCACUUUGACUCCUGCUGAGAAAAUGAUCGCAAUGAUCGGUGCUCUAAUUGCAGAAGGGGAAAGAGGAGCUCAAUCCCUUGAACUUCUUGUCAACAAUAUACAUGCAGACUUAUUGGCUGAUAUUGUGAUUGAAACUAUGAAACAUUUACCAGAAAGUCCUUUCUCUUUGUCUGCAAUUAAGCAAGAAAACCUGCCUCCUACAGAUCCCUAUAUGUCUUUUGGUGUCCAAUCAGAUAUUGUAUCAACUGCUGCAGAGAGUAACGGAAUCAGCAUGUCGACAUCUCAUGUGCCUGUUCUCUCUAGUACUGCUGAUGUUAAACGUGACCCGAGAAGAGUAUGUUUUCAGUUUGACUUAUUCAAAUAAUCAUUAAACAGUUAUUUACAUGAUAUCCUAGCCCUGCGAUAUUUGAAUUCUUAUAUUUGUCCUUCAAAGACUUUGUUUCUUGCAUACAUACCCUUGUACUUGAAAACAUGCCGCACCUUGAAGAAAAAGAGAACUUUCUCUGCGACAAAACCAACUUUCCUCUCCAAUUGGAUGACUACUCAUCAUAAGGGGAUCUAUAAGGAACCACCUUUUCAGGGGUCAUUUAUGCAAAAUCUUAUAGAGCAAUGCUACUUGUACUUGCACCCACCCAUCCAAGUGUUUACCCACCACCUUUUGAGUUUUUGAUAUGUUUUAGGAAAAAAGAGUGGCAGGACUAGUAUGUAAAAAGCAGCCUUGGAUGGGAGGAUGUAAGAUUUACACCCACUUUUUGGAUAUAUAGCUUGCUCUAGUGGUUAAAUAUGUAAACUGAUGAUUUUGCCCGGAUACGUUUGUGAUAGAAUAUAAUAUAAUUGAUGUCCAUAUGCAUAAAUCUUUGAAUUUUGUAUGCACAGGUAUGUUGGAUGUUUCUUUUCAUCUGAUUUAUUUACUGUUAUUAUACUGAGGCAAUUUAAUUAUAGGAUCCUCGUCGCCUUGAUCCUCGUCGGGUGGUGGUACCUGCCGAUCUAAGUUCUGGAGCGCAGAAUGUGGAGAGCUCCUCUGUUAUGCAACCUGGACCUUAUUAUUCAGCUAAUAAUAAAUCUAGUUCUUUUCCUGAGACAAUCAAGGUUGAAAAUACACCAGAACCAUUACCUUCCAAAAAUGAUAUGGACUCUUUUGAGAAUUCAGCUGAUCGUGCAGUUGGCCAGCUAGUUUCCAAAGAGAACUUACAGCUUUCUGAUGAAGCUAGAGAAGUGAAGCCAUCUGUGGAAAUUGAUACACCACCCAUCGUAGUACUUCCAUCUGUUGUUAAAGAUGAGCAUGAGCCGGCAGUAUCUGCAUCAUCAGAUUUUACUGUAAAUGAUCAAGUAGAUAAUUACAUGCUUGAAUCUGACUAUUCUUCACAGACCACAAGGACAUCUACCAUUGAAGAUAAUAGUAGUCGUAAUUUGCCAAUGCUUCCGCCUUAUGUGGAUUUAAGUGAAGAGGAGAGAAGGUCGUUGCACCAAUUAGUAGUCAAGAGGAUAAUUGAUGACUUUGAGCGGAAUCUUGUUAAUGCACGACUUCCUUUGCUUGCACGUUUGGUUUCUCAGGUAUACAUUACUUUUCGUCGUCUCUUACAUUUAUCUACAUCAAUGUUUUCUUUCUACACAUUAGGCGAUUCUUUAUCUGUUUAAGGUCUUAGUUGCCUUACUGGUUAUUUUUAAAAUGCCACCAUAUGUUAUGACUUACUGCCAUAAAUACUGUUCAUGCGCUACUUCUACUCCAUGACUUGGGUUUAUGCUGAUUAUUGGAUGGCAUUGCAAGAUGCCGCGCCUACAUGUUGACACCCAGUGCUUGCCACUUAUGCAAUAAACCUGUUCUCACUCUAUUGAUGGUACUUCUAGUUGAUUUCAAAGAAGUUUUCUGUAGACAAUAAAAGGUUCCAUUUGAUCAAGGACUACAAUUUAGUGAAAAACUGAAUUAUCCCAAAAUUUAUUAUUAAUUCUAUUAAAAUCUUUAAUUCAAAUUCCUGCAUGAUCUUUAAUCAAAUAUUAUAAUAUUAUUUCAAUUUUUGCGAAAAAGGGUCAAAAUUUAGGAAAUCGAAGUUUUCUCCAAGUUGACCCUUUUCAUGAUUUCAUCAGAUUAAGAUCAUUGAAAUGCACGAAGAGUUUGACAACAGGAUUUGAGAACUAAUUUGUACUAUUUUGGUUGAAAAAUUUUGAGGGACCGAGGGUUUUGAGCUGUACCAUCGGCUUUGGGGGUUUUAAAGUGUUGAUACCGUUUUGUCACAUUACAGCAUGGUCAGCAUGCCCUGUGGUGACCUGCACUUAAAUCCUAAAUCCUUGCUUCUAGUUAUUCUGGUCCAUGCAAUCUAACUUAAAGAAAUCAGCAUUUAUGUCACACUAACUUAAAAGAAAUUGAAAUAUAUACAAUUAUGCUAGUGUACAUAUUGUGCUGGGGGCAUAAAAUCCAUUGUUAUGGUUCAGUAUAUUAUGCAUACUAUACUAGCAAAAAGCUGGCACAAACACUAUAUAUCGUAUUGCUUUUCCUGAUUGGAUCAACAGAAGAGAAUCGGAUACCGGUGGAAUCGUGACAACACAGCCAUGUAUAUGGACAGAUUUAAGAAAUUUGAAAACUUGUUGCAUAGAAAUAUGUUGGCAAGACUUAAUUAGGUAUAGAGGAAAUAUUAUAGGAAAAAUCAUGUACGGUGUUUACCUUUUUGCUGUUGUCCACUUAAUUAUUUUCGAAGUGUCUAGCUUGUUUUACCAACUUGACUAAUUGAGUCAAAUAAUAAGAAAGAUGUUGCAGACUGAAGUUGCAUACUUUUUCAAUUCACAAGAUUACGUAGAAUAAUACAUGUAACUCUUUCUGAAACUAGUGUAAUUUUAUAUGUGUUCUCUAAUUUUGUCCCAACAUUGUUCUUUGCAUAUAAUUGUUUGCUGGUUGUUUCCUUAAGUUGAUUGUAUCAGCAUCUAUUGCAGUUUCUUCUGAUAUCUGAUUUUCAUUGCCCCUUACAAAAUUGAUCUUUUGCUUAAAUCUCCAUUCCUGAAUUUAUUCUUUUGCCUUUUUAUAUUCUUCCCUUCAGCUUUAACUUUUCAUUUUGACAGAAUGAUGGUGAUGAUGACAUAUUUAAGUUAUUACAAAAGCAUAUCAUUUUGGAUUACAACCGUCAUAAGGUACUUAUUUUGCAUACUCACUUUGUUGUCUCUCUGUUCUUUAUUUUGUUCUUAUUUUGAACUUUUUAUCAUCUGAUAUGGCACACUUGCCGUAAUGUCAGGGUAUUGUGAAUAGUCUGUGGUUUAUAUUCAUAAAUUUGUAAUUGAGUAUUAAACAGGGGUGUCUUACCGGAGAUGAAUGAAGUUAUAGAUGGCCUUACCUACAUGUUAAAUAGACUAAGGUAUAAUUCCUCAGAAGAUUCACUAUUAUUCUGGGAAGCAUGGACCAAUCAAAAAUGUUCUCAUGUCUGUGUUGGAUAUGUUCUAGAUGGACGCUUCACAGGCACGUGUCCAUUGUGAGUCCAUUGUACACUCGCAUCCUACUCACUCGCUACACGUCCAUCACAUGUCCAUUGCUUGUCCUUCGUGAUCCUACAUACCCAGUGUACAUCCGUACUCCAUAGGGUGUUAAACUGUUGAUUUCCUAUCCAAUAGAAGAAAAUAAAUGUUUAGAGAAUAUCAGAAGUUUUUUCCCUAUUCAGUUGUAGUCUUGUAGAUAGUGUAUUAAGUGAUCAUUGAACAAGUAUGCUACCUCAUUAUAUUGCAAAGAAGGCUUUUAAUUGAAAAUAUGCUUUAAGUUCUACUUUGAUAUUGUUAUAGUUUUGUUUAUAUACAAAGCGAUUUAGGAAAAAUCAAUUUCUAAAAUAUAUUAUAUUCAUUGGUCUUGUUGUUGUGUCCAUAACGAAUAGUUGUGUUUUGAGUCAUGUUGUGUGCUGUGUUCUUGUUCGUGUAACCUAUGGUUCAAAUAACUCAGGUUUGAAUAGAGAAAGUCUAUUUGAGACUAGUUAUGGACUUAAAGAGUAUUGAGCCACUGAUAGUGUAAAAACAAAAGCAGAGUUGAAAAGGUGAACCCGAUACUAAAGACAUGCGAUGCUAGUAUUCCAAAUUUAUUGUCGUUGUUAGCAUUUUUCUGCAGUUUUUUGACUUAAUCGUCUUUUUCUUUUUCAGGGUCAUGAAUUGGCAAUGCAUGUCCUCUACCACCUGCAAACUGUCAGCAUUGCUGAUUUUGGUGGGCAUUCUUCUUCCUCUGUUGUCAGCCUUUAUGAGAAGUUUCUUCUAUCUCUUGUAAGUACAUUUUAGCUUCAUAAUAUUUUAUUUUGAUUGUGCUACUACAUUUACUUCGUAUUGUGCGGAAGUGCUCAAAUUUGUGUCUUUGUUUGUAGGCAAAGGCCUUGGUUGAUUCCUUUCCUGCUUCAGAUAAGUCGUUCAAUCGGCUUCUGGGAGAAGCUCCUUUCUUGCCCGAUUCUGUGUUGAAAUUGCUAGAGGAUCUUUGUGUCAAUAUGCAUAGCCGUGAGCACCAUGCAAAAGACAGUGAUGGUGAUCGUAUAACUCAAGGUCUUGGAGCUGUAUGGAGCCUAAUUUUGGGACGGCCUCUUAGUAGACAAGCUUGCUUGAACAUCGCUUUGAAGGUGUAAAUUUCUUGUACAUGUAGAAGAAGAUUCAUCAUUCACUGACCUUGGAAGUAAAUAAGUAGUAAAUAGUGUGUCAUGUCAAAGCUCUGUCUUCUGUUGAUUUGAGGUUGUAGACGUACUUAAAUUUGUAUACACGUGCAUAUGCACACCAACACAAUUUGUUUUAGAUGCGCUUCAUUACCUUAUAUCACACCCUUACUCAUGAAAAUGCCUCUCUUUGAGAAGAUAUCUAUGUUUUUAAUACAAAACUGACAUUUUUGCUCAUGAUUAGGUGACUGCCCAACUUAAGAUAAAUGGUGUUUUUGUAAGAAACUACACCUUAUAGUUGUAAUAUGAAAUUGCAGGAGAUAUAUGUAAAUGUCUCUUACAGUUAAUUCGAACAUCUGAAGUAUUAAGAUGAAAUGGCUAUUCUAUACACGUUACGCAAAUGGCUAAUGUACCAUGAAUUAUGCCUUCUAGAGAUCGAAUCAUUCAGUGGGGAUGUAUGACAGUAGUUUGCUAUCAGGUUUGUCUAAGAAAAAUGUAUAAAUGAUAACAAAUUUGAUGGCUAUUAUAUGAAUCUUGAUAGUCGCAGAAAUGAGUGACAAUUGGAAUAAGCACUAGCACAAAUAAGGUUUCAGAUCUCUCCUUACCGAAGAGUUUCUUUUUAUUAUAACCUUAUCACAUAUUUGAGUAUCCAAUUCAGUAGUUAUGUUUCGAUUUAAGGUUUAUUUUGGUGAUAAUUUGUCAAUGUAGAGCUCUUGAGUAGGAGCAUUGUAUCUUUUUUUUCCCUAGCAGAUACUGAAGUGGCAGUUCCAAAUAGGAAUGUGUAAGAUCAUUGGUAAAGAAUGUGAAACAAUUGUUUGUCUCCAAUAGUUUUAAGCUAUCAAAGAAUGAUGUUUUUAAUAAUCAUAUUCAACACUCUCCUCACGUCUGGACUUGAGACUUUUUGAUAUGCAUAAGACAUGGACUUUAAUUAAAAUGGAAGGAAAUUAAAUGAUACUAGGGGCUAGGUGGGAUUCAAACUCAGGACCUCUUGACUGAUACUAUGUUAAAGAAUGUGAAACAAUUGUUUAUCUUCAAUAGCUUAAGCUAUCGGAGAACAGUAUUUUAAUAUAUAUAUUCGACAAGCAUUAUUAUCUUUUAUUAGUGUGUUUUUCUUUUCCUAUAAACUUAUAGCUCAAGUUGUAAUUGCAGUGUGCUGUUCAUUCUCAAGAUGAAGUUAGGACAAAAUCUAUUCGAUUGGUAUGCAUACUUGAAACUUCUUAUUGUUCUUUUUUCUUUUUUUUUGGUUCUAAUUGUUAUUAUUUCAGUGUAUUCUGUUUCUAUCCUUUUGGAUGCUAAAUUUUUCGUUUUGCCUUGUCAUACAUUUAUGUUCAGGUUGCCAACAAACUCUAUCCUCUUCAUUAUGCAUCAGAACACAUUGAGCAGUUCGCAACAAAUAUGCUUUUGUCAGUUGUUGAUCAGCGAGUUUCAGAGACAGAUGAUACAUCUGUGUCCUCUAGAGAACCAAAAACAGAAGUAAUUUGAACCUUUUGAUCUCUAAAACUACCAACAAUGUUACAUUUUUUGCUUAAAGUGGAAAUGUGACCAGUUUCCUGCAUUUUUCCUCUUUUAUUUACUUGGAAGUUGGAAGAAGCAAGCAGAUUUAUUCUCUUAAAAGGAUUAUAAUGACUAUGACGUACUUUGAUUAUUGAUUACUUCUUUUCACUCUCUUUUGUCAUCAGUUUUUUUUUUUUUCCUAUUAAUUUUGUAAAUAUUGCUAACAAGAAUCUAUGUGUAUGGACUGUCAGGCAGGAGGUAUUCAAGAGACUUCAAUUAGCAGUUCGCAGAAUUCUGAGCCUAUUCGUUUUGAAAGCGAUUCUAUGAAGUCUUCUCUUGUUUCUCCAUCUGUAUCUCUAUCUCAGGCUCAGUGUCAAACUUCGUUGUUCUUUGCUCUUUGCUCAAAGGUAAAAAUUCCCAUAAUCAUCUUUCUCUUAACUGAUAAAAUUUUCCUCAGAAAGUCAGAAUUCAGAAUUUUUCCUUGGGUCAUUUAAUAGGACAUUAGGUUUAGCAGCAUAAUUCAGUUUCUUUUGUGUUUUUGGGGUCUUUUCAGCUGCUCUGCUUAUACAACUUAUAUUUUCUGCAGAAACCUAGUCUUCUUCGACUUGUCUUUGAUAUUUAUGGAAGGUCUCCAAAGGCUGUCAAACAGGUGCUGCUCUAUCUUCUCUUGCGUAUCUUUAUACUAGAGAUACAUAUAUAACCAUGCAAUUGUAUCUAUUAUAUACCGUUGUGAAAUCUGAAUUUUCAUGUAUGCUCUUUUAAAAUAAUAUAACAUAUAUACAUAUAUUAAAAUUCUCCUCUUUAAAUGACUUCUGAUACAAAAUCAACCGCCCCCAAUAAAUUUGAUGACUCAAAUUAAGAUAAGGAUAUUUUUGCAAGAAACUAUACUUUCAAGGGGUAAGCCUGGAAGAUUCAGACUUUAGGCCCUUGUUUGGUUGGGGGUUAAGGGGUGGAAUAACCCCUUAACCCCCAUAUUAUCCCCAAACACCCCAAAAAAUAGGUGGGGUUAGCUAACCCCACCUAACCCCACCUAACCCCACCUCAAAUAAAUUAUCCUGGGUUAGCUAACCCCACUUAACCCCACCAAACUCCAACCAAAUACUAUUUUCUAUUCAUAAUAACCCACUAUCUUUUUUAUCCCACCUACUCCAACCAAUCAUUAUCCUUCUUUAUCAAUCAUUAUCUUCUUAUCUCACCUACUCCAACCAAACACUAUUUUUCAUUAUUCUAGACUAACUCCAACCCCCAACCAAACACAAAAAAAUUUUAACCCCACUUUAACCCUGAACUUAACUCUAUCCCUGGAAUAGCUACUUUUUCCUUAACCCCGAACCAAACGGAGGCUAGGGGUAU